RNAcentral lists this long non-coding RNA (62424 nucleotides) under Triticum aestivum (bread wheat). RNAcentral's name for it is "long non-coding RNA (TAES_LNC010127)". The record is from RNAcentral. Lineage: Eukaryota; Viridiplantae; Streptophyta; Magnoliopsida; Poales; Poaceae.
UGAGCCGCGCCUGCUCUGCUCCUUGCCUGAGUCGUGUCUAGUGCUCCGGAGUAGUGAAUAAUAAUCCGACGAACUGUUGCUCGUGUGAGUGUCCUUCGAUGCGUCGACAUCGUGGAGAGGAUUUUGUUUUGUUUUGUUGAGAAUUGCGUGCUGUCCAUGUGCUCGAUGAAAUGACUUGAAUUUUUCAAGGCGUCGUACUUGUUCUUAGCAUUGUCGGUGGUAAAGCCUUUGCUGAGAUGUUUACAUAGCUCGCGUACAAAAUACUCCCUCCGUCCCAUAAUAUAAAUAUAAGAGUGUUUUUUACACUAUAUUUAGUGUUAAAAACGCUCUUAUAUUGUGCUGAGAUUGAAAGCAGCUAAGAUAGGUACGGAUGCGAUGAAGGGUGUUUCAAAGUUCUGAUGAAGGGUGUUUCAAAGUUCUAUAACAAGAGAUGGAAAUUUUGGAUGCAGACCAACUGGUAGCAAAUAGUGUAUCUCUCUUUUUUGCACUGCAUGAAGACACCGAGCAAAACCUAUUUGGACCGUCGAUCCAUUUACACAGAUUAGCUAAUUGUCCGUGCGUUGUGCGCAUACUUAUUAUAGUGAUUCAAUACUAAUUAUAUCAGACAUAUGCCUUACACACACUAUAUUUAAGAUUUUGAUCACAUUUAACUUGAUUUGAGUAUAGGUAGAGAAUGCAAGGGAAGUUUUGAUUUAGUUGAGGCUUUGUUAAGUUUUAAUUUGAUUUGGGUAUUUAUAGGGGAGGAAAUGAAAGUUUUGAUUUAGUUGUGACAUUGAGUUAAUGCCGGACGUGAUUUUAGUAAAGUAUCGAUUAUGUUUAGAUUAUUCCAAGUUACUCUAUUUAUGUUGGUUUUAAUUUUGUGCAGCAUUGAUUGAGACUACAAAAAAAUCAACAUAAAACAUAGAAGGAAGGGGGUCGUGGGGAGGAAAAUCCAAGGGAGAAAGGGAGGCGACGGAACCAACUCCCUUUAAUAGUAGAGAUAGCCGUUGCAAACCCUAUUCUAUUUAGAGCAUUCAUGACAUGCGCUUGUGCAAGCUUGUACUCCACACAAAACCUCGAAACACCUUGAUCGAAUAUUCCAAACAACGUGCAUAGGUGAGCUAGUGUCGGUUAGAGCCCCUGGAUAUUUGUGGUUGGACCAUUCAAACCAUUUGCAAGUUGUCUCCUUGCAGUUUAGUCAGAGCAUCUGAGUUGAUCAUUUGGAUGCCUCCGAGCUACACGAAAAAUGUGUGCAACGGUCAGAUUUUUUGGGUUCAGCCUAAUACCUCCCCCCCCCCACACACACCCAUAUCCUACCAACUCACUCAAGAUCUUCAUUUCAGCGCGCGCGCGUGUGUGUCCACUACUCCAAAAUUCAUGUCAUACCUUUCUUUUGUUUGCUUUCAGGCAUACCAUUCAAAUACACAACCUUGUCUUGUCCAAGGAUCCAUUCAAUGAGCGUUUGAACGUGGAGAAGAAUAUCUUUUGAAGCGCAAGCAAAGGUUCAUCGCAAAACUACAUUCUCUUGUUAUUUGGGAGGGUGUGCAUCUCAUACAUUCGCUAGGUGUGCUUGGGGGGCCUUCAACGUGUGAAUGAACCAAGAAGUUUAUGAGGCAUUGAAGAUUGCCUACUAUGUGAAGAUCUGACAUUAGUGAGGCUAUACCUUCUGGGUCGUAAGCCAUGGUGAAAAUUUUUGAUUGCCCUCCACGGUCCAUUCAUGCAUGUAAUCCUACAUGGACAUAACAACGAGACCUUGAUGAUUUGAAGUUUCCAUCAACGUGGACUAGGAUAGCGCCAACUGAACCAGGGGACAACAAUAUCAGGCCUCUACGUGUUUGCAACCUGUAAUCUCAUAUCCCUUUAUUUUACUUCCAGGUUUUGCUUUCGCUCUUUACUCUUGUGUAGGCUUGCAUAAAGUGCUUUAAGCAACCACUAGCUAAGCUUAAUAUUUGUCAGAUUGUGAUAAUAGUUUAGUAGUCUAUUCACCCCUUCCCUCUAGACUCACAAUUAUCAUACACCAUAGAUGAUAUGUCAAAAAGGUAGAGACAACAAUUGGCUCUAUUAUUAGCCAACUGACAUGUAGAAAACCAUUAGUGUCCUUGGUAGGGUUUACAGUCUCUAACUGUCCUAGCCUUGAAGGAGCCUUGGCUUGAGCGCCAAGAUGAUGCCCUAUUCGGAAGCCGGGCCUUCUAGCGAUCGAAAAACCCAUCCAAUAGCUAGGCUCUGAGGCUAGCCCAGCAAUGGGCUUCCAGGACAACGGGCCACCCCCGAUAUAAUGUACCGUCAGUAUCCCCUGAGUUCAUUUGGAUUUUUUGUGAUUAGGCCUUCUCGAAAAAAUCUUGGCAGGUUCCUUCCAUGCGAAAAUGGCUAGAUGAAUCCAGCUUCUGGUUGCCCACCUUCGGGAACCUCUAGGCUUCAUGUCUCCCAACUUCGCGGCCUCACGGCUUCAUGGCUUUGAACUUCUCAGCCUCGCAACUACGUGACUUUCUGUGUCGCGGCUUCCUAGAUUUACAACUACCGAUUGAGUGCACAUCAAGUUGUGACUGGCAUGUCAUAUGAACCGAUGUGCCACUGCCGCCUGCUUUGUCAUGUGCCAUCAUUGUUGUCGUAAGGACAGAGAGACAGACAAUCGACUCCGCUUUGACCGCCACGUCAUGAUUAUAGUGCCUAGAUCCCCGUGCCUACAUCUCGUGUAGUGGGAAACUUCGCAGACAAAACAUGACACAUGUUGACUUCCCAAGGCCGUCAUUUGGGUUUCUUGGAGGGAUAUAAAGAGAGGAAGCGAGAGUCAUUCUCCCAGUUUCCCCUAUUCAUCUUGUAGAUCCACCUUUGAUUAUUCUUUCUCCACAAGAAGCACUAUUGCCGCAAGCUCUCGCCUUUCGAGCUCCCACUCCCCCCAUGGCUUUAAAGAAAGUGUUGCCUUGGAGACAAUCUGAAAGUUUUAGAGAGUCAUUUUAUUCUGUUGUGUGCUUUUAAAAAGUUUUAAAACAAAAAAUAUAGAGGGGAACCUAAACCUUUUCAAAAGGAUAAGUGAAAGUGAGAAGGACGAGCACCAUUGAAGUGGGGGAUAUCCUUGAACUCUUGUUCAUGCCCAUGGAAACUUUGUGAAUCUUGAAUUAUGGAAACUUUUCAACAACAAAAAAAUAUCCCCUUGUAAAAAUCUAUUAUAUUGUAAAAAUAUGUGCCAAGAUUUAUCUUUAGGAUGUUUAAACUACUUGUUUGUUGUGUGUUGUGGAAAAACAGAAACCUUUUCUGUAGUAUUUGAAUUUUCGUAAUUUAAUGGAAUAUGGAAAAAUUAUGAAAUUUUUACACAGUACUGCUAUGCAAAUUUUUUAUUACGCCAUAAUUUUUCAGAAGUUUUGGAGUUACACAAGUAUAUUUUUCAUUUGCAUCUAUACAGACUGUCCUGUUUUCAAAGAUUGUUCAUUAUAGUUUCCUUAUCCGCUUAUGUUUGAGAUCUUGUUGAGCCCCAUUGAUUUGGAAGCCAUAGAAUUGUGAUAGUAUACAAUGGGUAAUGUUUGAUUAUAAUUAUACAAUAAUGCUACAACAAGACAUGAUGGGGUUUGAUGUUAUUUGUACUAAUCCCUCUAAUAAGAAGUUUGGUUAAGUUUUGUGUGGAUGAAGUGUUCGAAGAUCGAGGAGGUAUCGAUAUGAGAAGAACAAGGACAGGAAAGUGUUCAAGCAUGGGGAUGCCCAGGGUGCCCUAAGUAAAUAUUCAAGGAGACUCAAGCGUCUAAGCUUGGGGAUGCCCCAGAAGGCAUCCAUAUUUCUUCCUCGACAAUUGUCCGUAUGUCUCUGAUUUUGUUUUGUUCACAUGAUAUGCGUAUAUUCUUGGAGUUUCGUGUGCUUUUUAAUUUUUACUUUAAUGAUGCACCAUGAUGAUAUGAGAUAGUCCUUGGUUGGUUUAUAAAAUGCUCUUUGCACUUCACUUAUAUCUUUUGAGUAUGACUUUAUAGAAUGCUUCAAGUGCUUCACUUAUAUCAUUUGAAGUUUGGAUGCACAUUCAUCUACAUUUGAAAAAAAAUGUUAUUUGUAGAAUGCUCUUUUGCUUCACUUAUAUUUAUCAAAGUGUGGCCGAGUCUUUUGUAGAAAGUAUUAAACUCUCAUGAUUCACUUAUAUCUAUUUAGAAAGUUAAACAAGAAUUGGUAUUCACAUGGUUAGUCAUAAAAUCCUACAUAAAACUUGUAGAUCACUGAAUAUGAUAAGUUUGAUUCUUUGCAAUAGUUUUGUGAUAUUGAGGUGGUAAUAUGGGGGAAUUCUAGUAAAAGAAUUAAAGUUCAGUAUUAAUAAUGGUGUUAAGGGAAGUAAGUCUUUACGCAAGUAAAUCCUCAUGCAUGUAAAAUGGCGUCCGCUGACAUUAGUGGUGAGGUUGCAGCAUAUUUUAUCAUUGAUUAAUCCUUUGUGUUGUCUAAAUCAGGGGUGCGCGAUGGUUAACUCCUCCCAACCACCUCCCUAGGGGCAUGCGAGUAAUACUUUGCUUCGAGGGCUUUGAAAUUUUCACAAUAAGUACCUGAGUUUCUCCCACCUAUCCAUAUUUUGCUAGCCACUUCGGUACUGUGCAUUGCCCGUUCUCACCUUGAGACUUGGUGCAAAUUUCAACAGUGCAUCCAAACCCCGUGAUAUGAUACGCUCUAUCACACAUAAGCCUCAUUAUAUCCUUCCUCAAAACAACCACCAUACCUGCCUAUCAUGGCAUUUUCAUAGCCAUUCCAAGAUAUAUUGCUAUGCAACUUCCACCAUUGACAACCCACAAGUAUAGGGGAUCGCAACAGUUUUUGAGGGUAGAGUAUUCAACCCAAAUUUAUUGAUUCGACACAAGGGAAGCCAAAGAAUAUUCACGAGUAUUAGCAGCUGAGUUGUCAAUUCAACCACACAUGAAAGACUUAAUAUCUGCAGCAAAAUAUUCAGUACCAAAGUAGUAUGGAAGUAACGGUGACGGUGACAAAAGUAACCAUAGCAGUUUUAUAGUGAUUGUAACAACAGUAGCAGCGAAAGUAACUUAGCAAAGAUCAAUAUGUGAAAAGCUCAUAGGCAAUGGAUCGACAAUGAUAAUUGUGUCGUAUGAUGUUCAUCAUGUAGCAUCCAUAACCUAGGGUGACACAGAACUAGCUCCAAUUCAUCAAUAUAAUGUAGGCAUAUAGUUCGUAUAUAGUCAUAUGUGCUUAUGGAAAAGAACUUGCAUGACAUCUUUUGUCCUACCCUCCCGUGGUAGCGGGGUCCUAGUGGAAACUAAGGGAUAUUAAGGCCUCCUUCUAAUAGAGAACCGGACCAAAGCAUUAGCACUUAGUGAAUACAUGAACUCCUCAAACUAAGGUAAUCACCAGAAAGAAUCCCAAUUAUUGUCACCUUGGUUAUGUGGAUCAUAACUCAUAAUAAGUGUCUACAACUUGCAAGCUAGGAUCAAGAACACAAAUAUAUUCAUGAAAACAUAAUAGGUUCAGAUUUGAAAUCAUGGCACUCGGGACCUAGUGACAAGCAUUAAGCAUAGCAAAGUCAUAGCAACAUCAAUCUCAGAACAUAAUGGAUACUAGUGAUCAAACCAUAACAAAACUAACUCGAUUACAUGAUAAAUCUCAUCCAACCCAACACCGUCCAGCAAGCCUACGAUGGAAUUACUCACUUCCGGCGGUGAGCAUCACGAAAUUGGUGAUGAUGAUUGAUGUCUACUACACAACCUUCUUCUUGUAGACGUUGUUGGGCCUCCAAGUGCAGAGGUUUGUAGGACAGUAGCAAAUUUCCCUCAAGUGGAUGACCUAAGGUUUAUCAAUCCGUGGGAGGUGUAGGAUGAAGAUGGUCUCUCUCAAACAAUCUUGCAACCAAAUAACAAAGAGUCUCUUGUGUCCCCAACACACCCAAUACAAUGGUAAAUUGUAUAGGUGCACUAGUUCGGAGAAGAGAUGGUGAUACAAGUGCAAUAUGGAUGAUAGAUAUAGGUUUUUGUAAUCUGAAAAUAUAAAAACAGCAAGGUAACUAAUGAUAAAAGUGAGCGAAAACGGUAUUGCAAUGCGUUGAAACAAGGCCUAGGGUUCAUACUUUCACUAGUGCAAGUUCUCUCAACAAUAAUAACAUAAUUGGAUCAUAUAACAAUCCCUCAACAUGCAACAGAGAGUCACUCCAAAGUCACUAACAGCGGAGAACAAACAAAUGGAUUAUUGUAGGGUAUGAAACCACCUCAAAGUUAUUCUUUCUGAUCGAUCUAUUCAAGAGUCCGUAGUAAAAUAACACGAAGCUAUUCUUUCCGUUCAAUCUAUCCUAGAGUUCGCACUAGAAUAACACCCUAAGACAUAAAUCAACUAAAACCCUAAUGUCACCUCAAGUAUCAGUGGGUAUGAUUAUACGAUAUGCAUCACACAAUCUCAGAUUCAUCUAUUCAACCAACACAAAGAACUUCAAAGAGUGCCCCAAAGUUUCUACCGGAGAGUCAAGACGAAAAUGUGUGCCAACCCCUAUGCAUAAGUUCACGAGGUCACGGAACCCGCAAGUUGAUCACCAAAACAUACAUCAAGUAGAUAACGUGAAUAUCCCAUUGUCACCACAGAUAAGCACAUGCAAUACAUACAUCAACUGUUCUCAAAUCCUUAAAGACUCAAUCCAGUAAGAUAACUUCAAAGGGAAAACUCGAUCCAUUACAAGAGAGUAGAGGGGGAGAAACAUCAUAAGAUCCAACUAUAAUAGCAAAGCUCGUGAUACAUCAAGAUCAUGCGAAUCAAGAACACGAGAGAGAGAGAGAGAGAUCAAACACAUAGCUACUGGUACAUACCCUCAGCCCCGAGGGUGAACUACUCCCUCCUUGUCAUGAAGAGCUCCGGGAUGAUGAAGAUGGCCACCGGAGAGGGAUUCCCCCCCCCCCUCCGACAGGGUGCCGGUACGGGUCUAGAUUGGUUUUCGAUGGCUACGGAGGCUUGUGGCGAUGGAACUCCCUAUCUAGGUUAUUUUCUGGAAGUUUCUGUAUUUAUAGGAAGUUUUGGCGUCGGGAACAAGUCAGGGGGGUCCCCGAGUCGUCCACGAGAUAGGGCGGCGCGCCCGGGGGGUAGGGCGCGCCCCCACCCUCAUGGACGGCCCGGGACUCUUCUGGCCCAACUCUUUUACUCCGGGGGCUUCUUUUGGUCCAUAAAAAAUCAUCAAAAAUUAGCACAUCAAUUGGACUCCAUUUGGUAUUCCUUUUGUGUAAAACUCAAAACAAGGAAAAAACAGAAACUGACACUGGGCUCUAGGUUAAUAGGUUAGUCCCAAAAAUCAUAUAAAAUACCAUAUAAAUGCAUAUAAAACAUCCUAGAUGGAUAAUAUAAUAGCAUGGAACAAUCAAAAAUUAUAGAUACGUUGGAGACGUAUCAAGCAUCCCCAAGCUUAAUUCCUGCUCGUCCUCGAGUAGGUAAAUGAUAAAAACAGAAUUUCUGAUGUGGAAUGCUACCUAACAUAAUUUUCAAUGUAAUUUUCUUUAUUGUGACAUGAAUAUUCAGAUCCGAAAGAUUCAAGACAAAAGUUUAAUAUUGACAUAAAAACAAUAAUACUUCAAGCAUACUAACCAAGCAAUUAUGUCUUCUCAAAAUAACAUAGCCAAAGAAAGCUCAUCCCUACAAAAUCAUAUAGUUUGGCCAUGCUUCAUUUUCGUCACACAAAAUGCUCCGAUCAUGCACAACCCCGAUGACAAGCCAAGCAAUUGUUUCAUACUUUAGUAUUCUCAAACUUUUUCAACUUUCACGCAAUACAUGAGCGUGAGCCAUGGGCAUAACACUAUAGGUGGAACAGAAUAUGAUGAUGGAGGCUGUGUGAAGAAGACAAAAAAGGAGAAAAUCUCACAUCAACGCGGCUAAUCAACGGGCUAUGUAGAUGCCCAUCAAUUGAUGUCAAUGCGAGGAGUAGGGAUUGCCAUGCAACGGAUGCACUAGAGCUAUAAAUGUAUGAAAGCUCAACAAAAGAAACUAAGUGGGUGUGCAUCCAACUUGCUUCCUCACAAAGACCUAGGGCAUUUGAGGAAGCCCAUCGUUGGAAUAUACAAGCCAAGUUCUAUAAUGAAAAUUCCCACUAGUAUAUGAAAGUGACAAAAUAAGAGACUCUCUAUCAUGAAGAUCAUGGUGCUACUUUGAAGCACAAGUGUGGAAAAAUGAUAGUAGCAUUGCCCCUUCUCUCUUCUUCUCUCAUUUUUUUGUUUUUUGGGCCUUCUCUCUUUUUUUGGCCUUUCUCUUUUUUUUCUUUUUUUCUUUUUUUCUCACACGGGACAAUGCUCUAAUAAUGAUGAUGAUCACACUUCUAUUUAUUUACAACUCAAGGAUUACAACUCAACACUUAGAACAAAAUAUGACUCUAUAUGAAUGCCUCCGGCGGUGUACCGGGAUGUGCAAUGAAUCAAGAGUGACGUGUAUGAAAAUAUUAUGAAUGGUGGCUUUGCCACGAAUACGAUGUCAACUACAUGAUCAUGCAAAGCAAUAUGACAAUGAUGAAGCGUGUCAUAAUAAAUGGAACGGUGGAAAGUUGCAUGGCAAUAUAUCUCGGAAUGGCUAUGGAAAUGCCAUAAUAGGUAGGUAUGGUGGCUGUUUUGAGGAAAAUAUAAGGAGGCUUAUGUGUGAUAGAGCGUAUAGUAUCACGGGGUUUGGAUGCACCGGCGAAGUUUGCACCAACUCUCGAGAUGAGAAAGGGCAAUGCAUAGUACCGAAGAGGCUAGUAAUGAUGGAAGGGUGAGAGUGCGUAUAAUCCAUGGACUCAACAUUAGUCAUAAAGAACUCACAUACUUAUUGCAUAAAUCUACAGGUCAUCAAAACCAAAUACUACGCACAUGCUCCUAGAGGGAUAGAUUGGUAGGAAAAGACCAUCGCUCGUCCCCGACCGCCACUCAUAAGGAAGGCAAUCAAAGAACACCUCAUGCUUCAAAUUUGUCACACAACGGUUACCAUACGUGCAUGCUACAGGACUUGCAAACCUCAACACAAGUAUUUCUCAAUUUCACAAUUACUCAACUAGCAUGACUCUAAUAUCACCAUAUUUAUAUCUCAAAACAAUUAUCAAGUAUCAAACUUCUCAUAGUAUUCAAUGCACUCUAUAUGAAAGUUUUUAUUAUAUCCCUCUUGGAUGCCCAUCAUAUUAGGACUAAAUUCAUAACCAAAGAAAAUUACCAUGCUGUUCUAAAAGACUCUCAACAUAAUAUAAGUGAAGCACUGAGAGUUCAUCAAUUUCUUCAAAAAUAAAACUACCAUCAUGCUCUAAAAAGGUAUAAGUGAAGCACUAGAGCAAAUGACAAACUACUCCGAAAGAUAUAAGUGAAGAUCAAUUAGUAGUCGAAUAAUUAUGUAACUAUGUGAAGACUCUCUAACAUUUAAUAAUUUCAGAUCUUGGGAUAUUAUUCAAACAGCAAUCAAAACAAAAUAAAAUUAAAUGACGCUCCAAGCAAAACACAUAUCAUGUCGUGAAUAAAAAUAUAGCUCCAAGUAAAGUUACCAAUGAACGAAGACGAAAGAGGGGAUGCCAUCUGGGGCAUCCCCAAGCUUAGGCUCUUGGUUGUCCUUGAAUAUUACCUUGGGGUGCCUUGGGUAUUCCCAAGCUUAGGCUCUUGCCACUCCUUAUUCCAUAGCCUAUCGAAUCUUUACCCAAAACUUGAAAACUUCACCACACAAAACUCAACAGAAAACUCGUAAGCUCCGUUAGUAUAAGAAAGCAAAUCACCACUUAGGUACUGUCAAGACAAGAUUCAUAAUUUUUAUCACAUUAUGCCUACUGUACCAUAUCAUUUCUACAAUUUAUAUUAAGCAAUAUAAGCCAUAGAAACUAGAAAACAAGCAAACUAUGCAUCGAAAACAGAAUCUGCCAAAAACAGAACAAUCUGUAGUAAUCUGUAACUCUUGAAUACUUAUGUAACUCCAAAAAUCCUGAGAAAUUAUGAAGUCCUAGGAAAUUCCUUUAUUGAUCUACUUCAGUUGGAAAUGGUAUUUUAUCACUCUCUGGUAAAAAAUGAAAAUUAUUUUCGCGAGAGCAUACUUUCUAUUUUUAUCCGCAAGAUCAAACAAUAAUCACCCAAGAAGAUCCUAAAGGCUUUACUUGGCACAAACACUAAUUAAAACAUAAAAACACAAUUAUAACAGAAGCUAUAUGAAUAAUUUAUUACUAAACAGGAGCAACAAGCAAAGAACAAAAAUAAAAUUGGGUUGCCUCCCAACAAGCGCUAUCGUUUAACGCUCCUAGCUAGGCAUGAUGAUUUCAAUGAUGCUCACAUAAAAUAUAAGAAUUGAAACAUAAAGAGGGCAUCAUGAAGAAUAUGACUAGCACAUUUAAGUCUAACCCUAUUCCUAUGCAUAGGGAUUUUGUGAGCAAACAACUUGUGGGGACAAGAAUCAACUUGCAUACGAAGGUAAAACAAGCAUAACUUCAAGAUUUUAAGCACAUAGAGAGGAAACUUGAUAUUAUUGCAAUUCCUACAAGCAUAUAUUCCUUCCUCAUAAUAAUUUUCAGUAGCAUCAUGAAUGAAUUCAACAAUAUAACCAUCACAUAAAGCAUUCUUUUCAUGAUCUACAAGCAUAGAAUUUUUAUUACUCUCCACAUAAGCAAAUUUCUUCUCAUGAAUAGUAGUGGGAGCAAACUCAACGAAAUAACUAUCAUGUGAGGUAUAAUACAAUUGAAAAUUAAAAUCAUGAUGACAGGUUUCAUGGUUAUAAUUAUUAUUUAUAGCAUACAAGUCAUCACAAUAAUCAUCAUAAAUAGGGGGCAUGCUCUCAUCAUAAUAAAUUUGCUCAUCAAAACUUGCGGGACAAAAAAUAUCAUCUUCAUAGCAUCCCCAAGCUUGUGGAUUUGCAUAUCAUUAGCAUCAUGGGUAUUCAAAGAAUUAAUACUAACAACAUUGCAAUCAUGCUCAUCAUCCAAAGAUUUAGUGCAAACAUUUUAAUACAUUCUUCUUUUAACACUUUGGCACAAUUAUAGGAAUCCUUAUUUUCAUGAAGGCAUUAAAAAGAUGAAGCAUAUGAGGCAACCUUAAUUCCAUUUUUUUGUAGUUUUCUUUUGUAGACUAAACUAGUGAUAAAACAAGAAACUAAAAGAUUUGAUUGCAAGAUCUAAAGAUAUACCUUCAAGCACUAACCUCCCCAGCAACGGCGCCAGAAAAGAGCUUAGUUGACGGGGUGUUAGUGCCGCUUACCUAGCCUCCCCGGCAACGGCGCCAGAAAAGAGAUUGAUGUCUACUACACAACCUUCUUCUUGUAGACAUUGUUGGGCCUCCAAGUGCAGAAGUUUGUAGGAUACUAGCAAAUUUCCCUCAAGUGGAUGACCUAAGGUUUAUCAAUCCGUGGGAGGCGUAGGAUGAAGAUGGUCUCUCUCAAACAACCCUGCAACCAAAUAACAAAGAGUCUCUUGUGUCCCCAACACACCCAAUACAAUGGUAAAUUUUAUAGCCCUAGUUCGUAGAAGAGAUGGUGAUACAAGUUCAAUAUGGAAGGUAGAUAUAUGUUUUUAUACCUGAAAAUAUAAAAAUAGCAAGGUAACUAAUGAUAAAAGUGAGGGAAAACGGUAUUGCAAUGCGUUGAAACAAGGCCUAGGGUUCAUACUUUCACUAGUGCAAGUUCUCUCAACAAUAAUAACAUAAUUGGAUCAUAUAACAAUCCCUCAACAUGCAACAAAGAGUCACUCCAAAGUCACUAACAGUGGAGAAAAAACGAAGAGAUUAUUGUAGGGUACGAAACCACAUCAAAGUUAUUCUUUCUGAUCGAUCUAUUCAAGAGUCCAUAGUAAAAUAACACGAAGCUAUUCUUUCUGUUCAAUCUAUCCUAGUGUUUGUACUAGAAUAACACCCUAAGACACAAAUCAACCAAAACCCUAAUGUCACCUAGAUACUCCAAUGUCACAUCAAGUAUCUGUGGGUAUGAUUAUACGAUAUGCAUCACACAAUCUCAGAUUCAUCUAUUCAACCAACACAAAGAACUUCAAAUAGUGCCCCAAAGUUUCUACCGGAGAGUCAAGACGAAAAUGUGUGCCAACCCCUAUGCAUAAGUCACGAGGUCACGGAACCCGCAAGUUGAUCACCAAAACAUACAUCAAGUAGAUCACGUGAAUAUCCCAUUGUCACCACAGAUAAGCACAUGCAAGACAUACAUCAAGUGUUCUCAAAUCCUUAAAGACUCAAUCCAGUAAGAUAACUUCAAAGGGAAAACUCAAUCCAUUACAAGAGAGUAGAGGGGGGGGGGAAACAUCAUAAGAUCCAACUAUAAUAGCAAAGCUCGCGAUACAUCAAGAUCGUGCGAAUCAAGAACACGAGAGAGAGAGAGAGAGAGAGAGAGAGAGAGAGAGAGAGAGAUCAAACACAUAGCUACUGGUACAUACCCUCAGCCCCGAGGGCGAACUACUCCCUCCUCGUCAUGGAGAGCGCCGGGAUGAUGAAGAUGGCCACUGGAGAGGGAUUCCCCCCCCCCACUCCAGCAGGAUGCCGGAACGGGUCUAGAUUGGUUUUCGGCGGCUAUGGAGGCUUGCGGCGGCGGCACUCCCUACCUAGGUUAUUUUCUAGAGGUUUCUGUAUUUGUAGGAAUUUUUGGCGUCAGGAACAAGUCAGGGGGGUCCCCGAGUCGUCCACGAGAUAGGGCGGGACUCUUCUGGCCCAACUCUUUUACUCUGGGGGCUUCUUUUGGUCCGUAAAAAAUCAUCAAAAAUUGGCACGUUAAUUGGACUCCAUUUGGUAUUCCUUUUCUAUAGAACUCAAAAACAAGGAAAAAACAGAAACUGGCACUGGGCUCUAGGUUAAUAGAUUAGUCCCAAAAAUCAUAUAAAAUACCAUAUAAAUGCAUAUAAAACAUCCUAUAUGGAUAAUAUAAUAGCAUGGAACAAUAAAAAAUUAUAGAUACGUUGGAGACGUAUCAAUGAUGGCGACGAAUCCCCCUCUCCGGAGCCCUGAAUGGAGUCCAAAUCAGCCUUCCUGAUGAAGAACAGGAGGCGGCGGCAGCUCCGUAUCAUAGAACACGAUGAAUCCUUCUCUCUCAUUUUUUAUCCGCGAAUAGGUACUUAUAGAGUUGGAACUAGGGUCGGAGGAGCUCCAGGGGCUCACAAGCCUGCAGGGCGCGCCCCCAGGGCUUCUGGCCUCUGGGUGGCCCCCCUUUGGUUGAUUCUUGCGCCAAUAUUUUUUAUAUAUUCCAAAAAUAUUCUCCAUAAAUUUUUAGGUCAAUCCGAGAACUUCUAUUGCUGCACAAAAAUAACACCAUGGUAAUUCUGCUGAAAACAACGUCAGUCCAGGUUAGUUCCAUUCAAAUCAUGCAAGUUAGAGUCCAAAACAAGGGCAAAUGAGUUUGGAAAAGUAGAUACGACGGAGACGUAUCAACUCCCCCAAGCAUAACCCAUUGCUUGUGCUCAAGCAAUUCAGUUGAGAAACUGAAAGUGACAAAGAAAAUCUUUUACAAACUCUGUUUGAUCUUGUUGUUGCAAAUAUGCAUGGCCAGUGUCGAGGUUUUUAGCAAAGAUUAUGAACUAACCAUGUUCACAAUAACAUUUAGGUCUCACAUGUACUUAUAUCAACAGUACAAUAAACUAGCGAGCAAUAAUAAUGAAUCUUGGAUGACAACACUUUUUCAAAACAAUCAUGAUAUACUAUAACAAAAUGGUAUCUCGCUAGCCCUUUCUGAGACCACAAAACAUAAGUGCAGAGCACCCGUGAAGAUUAAGGACUGACUAGAUAUUAUAAUUCAUGGGAAAAGAGAUCCGGUCACACUCAUAUUCAAUAUCAAUUAAUAACAAAGCAUAAAAAUGACAAUGGUGCUCUCUAACUAGUGCUUUUUUAUGAGAGGAUGAUGACUCAACAAUAAAAGUAGAUAGAUAGGCCCUUCGCAGAGGGGAGCAGGGAUUUGCAGAGGUGCCAGAGCUCGAGCUUUUAGAACAGAGAUGGAUAUAAUUUUGAGCGGUGUGCUUUGAUUGUCAACAUAACAACCAAGAGAUCUCACUAUCUACCAUGCUAGAUACAUUAUAGGCGGUUCCCAAACAGAAUGGUAAAGUUUUUACUCCCCCUCCACCAACAAUCACACUCCACGGCUAACCGAAUCCACGGGUACCGUCCAUACCAACAAUAGUCCUGGGGGAGUUUUGUUUGAUAUUUAUAUUUUGAAUUGAUUUUGAGCAUGGAACUGGGCAUCUCAAUUACCAGCCACUUUCUCGUGAAUGACAAGUGAAUAAACACCCGUCUUGAGAAUAACCCACCUAGGAUGGAAGAUACUGAUAGCCCCCAGUCACUACAUAGCGAUUCGGGCAUACAAAACAUAUUAUUAUUUGAAGGUUUAGAGUUUGGCACAUGCAAAUUUACUUCGGAAGGGUGGGUAAAUACCACAUAUAGGUAGGUAUGGUGGCUCAUAUGGAACAACUUUAGGUUUAAGGAAGUGGAUGCACAAGUAGUAUUCCCUCUUAGUACAAGUGAAGGCUAGCAAAAGAUUGAGGAGUGACCAACUAGAGAGCGACAGUGGUCAUAAACAUGCAUUGAGAUUAACCAACAUUGAGUGCAGGCAUGAGUAGGAUAUAAAUCACCAUGAACAUAAAUAUCAUGGAGACUAUGUUGUUUUUGUUUCAACUAUAUGCGUGAACAUGUGCCAAGUCAAGCCACUUGAAUCAUUCAAAGUAGGAUACCAUCCUAUCAUACUACAUCACAACCAUUUUAAAAGCAUGUUGGCAUGCAAGGUACACCAUUAUCCACUCCUAGCUAAUUAAGCAUGGCAUGAGCAACUAUAAUCUCUAAUGUCAUUGCAAACACGUCUCAUUCAUAAUGGGCCGAAUCAAGAACGAUGAGCUAAUCAUAUUUACAAAAAUAAAAUAGGUCAAGUUCGUACCAGCUUUUCUCCAUCUCAAUCAAUUCAUCAAAUAUCAUCAUUAUUGCCUUUCACUUGCACGACUGUGGAUAAUAAUAAGAGUGCACGUGCAUUGGACUAAUCUGGAAUCUGCAAACAUUUAUUUGAAGGAGAAGACAAGGUAAUAUGGGCUCUUUGUUAGAUCAACAAUAAUGCAUAUGAGAGCCACUCAACAUUUUCAUCGUGGUCUUCUCCUUAUGACCCAAAGAAAAGAAAAAGAAUUUCAAAGAAACACACCGAAAUAUAUUUUUUGAGUUUUUGUUUUUCUGAAGAAAGUGAAACAAGAAUGAGAAAACUAUUUACAUGGGAAAGCUCCCAACAAGCAAAAGAAGAACAAGAAAUCUUUUUGGGUUUUCUUUUAAUACCAAUACUAAAUGAACUAGAAAGAAAAACUAAAAAGAAGCAAAAACUAUUUUUUUGUAUUUUCUCAAAGUUUUUCAAACACACAAGAAGAAAGCAAGAAAAAUAAACUAGCAUGGAUGAUACAAUGGAAAAGUAUGAACACCGACAAUUGAAAUGAGUGUGUGAACAUGAAUGUAAUGUUAGUGAGAGAUACAUACUCCCCCAAGCUUAGGCUUCUGGCCUAAGUUGGUAUAGGGCCACGGCUCGAAAUAACCCUCUCCUCAAUACUCCGGAGGGUCCUGAGGGUUCCACUGGUUGGCGAGCUCCUGUGGCUCCCACUAAAAAACAGGCUCCUAAUACGGAUCAGGAACUGGUGCUGGCUUAGGUGCUGGGGGUUGUGGAAGACCCCAAAAUCUGUAGAUGUCCUCAGUCAUAAUAGUGUACCUGCCUGAACGAAUACCAAACAAAGAAGAAGCAUGCAGAGCAAUAGUCUCAUAAGUACCCUGACUAAAUACUAGGUUGUAGAGGAUUCUCUUGUCCUUAUCUUUCUCAAAAUCGUGUGCUACCAUACUAUUAUAGUACCAAUAUCUAGUGGGUAGCGGCAUCGAUAUCUCCUCCUCCUCCUCAUGCCUAAUAGGUAUCUCAAAGCAUCUAGCAAGGCGUGAGGCAUAGAUACCUCCAAAGAUGGGACCGUUCGUGCGGUUUGUGUUUAACCGACGGGCAACAAUGACGCCCAAGCUAAAAGUUCUAUCACAAUAUAAAGCAUCGUGCAAAAUAGCAAAGGUCCGGGGCACUAAGGCCUCUGCUCUCCCCACAACCAAUCAAACAUCUCCCAGCAAAAAGUGAAUAAUAGUGUAAAACAGGAAAAUGUAAGCUAGCCACUCUCGCUUCCGACACACCUCUUUCUUCCCCUGCAGUAGUUUCAGCAAUAAAGUCUUCCACGUCUCUAGGAUGUGGUUCACUGACGCUGCCCUCAUAAGGUAAUUUGCAAACUUCGCUACAAUCAUAAAGCGCUAAAAAUAAAAGAAUGGACGCGAGAGACGCUUUGUGCUGUUUGUGUUAUGAAAUCGAAUUUGUUCAUCUCCAGGUAACUCCAUCUUUUUCAGCUCUGCUCGCUCACUUUUGAAAGGAAAGGAGACUGAUCUUGACGUCGACGUUGGUUUUUCCAAUGAAACAAAUAUUUUUUGGAUUCUCCUUAUGAUUAUCAUAUAAAUAAAACUCUACCAUGGGUGGCGACUUCCUAGAAUAGAAGUGAACAUUUUGCACGAAGGUGUUAGUGAGCAGAAGGUAUUGUUCACACUUAUCUUGGAGGAAGGCGGUGAGGCCGACAUUCUUCGCCAAAUAAUAGAAAUCAUCAUAAAUUCUGGCCGCCCUCAAGAAUGCAUCGCUUGGCCAUUCACAUGGACGAACCUCCGCUGCACGCGGAAGAUUUGUACUUGGGCUUCUUCUUCUCAUCAUUUUCAUUUUUACUUGAAUUCCGGCUUGAAGAACCCCUUAAUGAUCUCCUCAUCAUUUCUUUCAUUUUCUCUAAAAUUUUCUAAAUUUUUUAGUGACUCAAAAUAAAAGUGAACAAAACUCAAUAAGAUUGAUAGCAACUACUCCCACAAGUGUCUAGAGGCUAUAUCAUGCAACAAAACUAUAAAUUUGACAUGCAAGCUCAAGAACAAGGUCACCACAGCAGCAAAAAUUUGCAAUAUAUAAAGCACUAGAACAAAAACUAAUUGGACCAAUGAAGGAGUCACAUACCGAAGAACAAAUCUCCAAAAUAGUUUCAGAAACAAAGCUCUAAGCAAGGGGGUGGGUCAAGGAAAUAUGCCCUAGAGGCAAUAAUAAAGUUGUUAUUUACAAUUCCUUAUAUCAUAAAUGUUUAUUAUUCAUGCUAGAAUUGUAUUAACCAGAAACUUAGUACAUGUUUGAAUACAUACACAACCAGAGUGUCCCUAGUAUGCCUCUACUUGACUAGCUCGUUAAUCAAAGAUGGUUAAGUUUCCUAACCAUAGACAUGUGUUGUCAUUUGAUGAACGAGAGCACAUCAUUAGAGAAUGAUGUGAUGGACAAGACCCAUCCAUUAGCUUAGCAUACUGAUCGUUUAGUUUUAUUGCUAUUGCUUUCUUCAUGACUUAUACAUGUUCCUCUGACUAUGAGAUUAUGCAACUCCCGAAUACCGGAGGAACACCUUGUGUGCUAUCAAACAUCACAACGUAAUUGGGUGAUUAUAAAGAUGCUCUACAGGUGUCUCCAAUGGUGUUUGUUGAGUUGGCAUAGAUUGAGAUUAGGAUUUGUCACUUUGUGUAUCGGAGAGGUAUCUCUGGGCCCUCUCGGUAAUGCACUCACUAUGAUCUUGCAAGCAAUGUGACUAAUGAGUUAGUUACAAGAUGAUGCGUUACGGAACGAGUAAAGAGACUUGCCGAUAACGAGAUUGAACUAGGUAUGAUGAUACCAUUGAUCGAAUCUCGGGCAAGUAACAUACCGAUGACAAAAGGGAACAACGUAUGUUGUUAUGCGGUUUGACCGAUAAAGAUCUUCGUAGAAUAUGUGGAGCCAAUAUGAGCAUCCAGGUUCCGCUAUUGGUUAUUGACUGGAGAUAUGUCUCGGUCAUGUCUACAUAGUUCUCGAACCCGUAGGGUCCGCACGCUUAAUGUUCGAUGACGAUUUGUAUUAUGAGUUAUGUGUUUUGAUGACCGAAGAUUGUUCAAAGUCCCGGAUGAGAUCACGAACAUGACUAGGAGUCUCGAAGUGGUCGAGAGGUAAAGAUUCAUAUAUUGGAAGGUUGCAUUCAAACACCGGAAUGGUUCCGAAGUGUUUCAGGUAUUUUUCGGAGUACUUGGAGGUUACCGGACCCCCCGGGGAAGUAGUGGGCCAUAAUGGGCUUUAGUGGAAAGGAGAGAAGGGCCUCAAGGGGUGGCGGCGCCCCCCCAUGGCUGGUCCGAAUUGGACUAGGAGGGGGCGGCGCCCCCCUCUUCCUCUUUCCCUCCUUCUCCUUGUUGGAAUAGGAAGGGGCAAAUCCUACUUGGACCGGGAGUCCAAGUAGGACUCCCCCCUUUGGCGCACCCCCUUGGGCCGGCCUCCUCUUCCCCCUCCUUUAUAUACGUGGGAGGGGGCACCCCGAUGGCACACCAAGUCUUCUCUUAGCUGUGUGCGGUGCCCCCCUCCAUAGUUACACACCUCGGUCAUAUAGUCGUAGUGCUUAGGCGAAGCCUUGUGCCGUUAACUUCAUCAUCACCGUCAACAUGCCAUCGUGCUGACGAAACUCUCCCUCGUCCUCAACUGGAUCAAGAGCUCGAGGGACGUCAUCGUGCUGAACGUGUGCUGAACACGGAGGUGUCGUACGUUCGGUGCUAGGAUCGGUUGGAUCCCGAAGACGUUCGACUACAUCAACCGCGUUACUAAACACUUCCGCUUUUGGUCUACGAGGGUACGUGGACACACUCUCCCUUCUCGUUGCUAUGCAUCUCCUAGAUAGAUCUUGCGUGAUCAUAGGAUUUUUUUUGAAAUACUGCGUUCCCCAACAGUGGCAUCCGAGCCAGGUCUAUGCGUAGAUGUUAUUUGCACGAGUAGAACACGAAGAGUUGUGGGCGAUAAUAGUCAUGCUGCUUACCACCAACGUCUUACUUUGAUUUGAUGGUAUUGUUGGAUGAAGCGGCCCUGACCAACAUUACAUGACCGCGUUCAUGAGAUUGGUUCUACCGACGUGCUUCGCACACAGGUGGCUGGCGGGUGUCUGUUUCUCCAACUUUAGUUGAAUCGAGUUUGACUACGGCUGGUCCUUGUUGAAGGUUAAAACAACACACUUGACGAAAAAUCUUUGUGGUUUUGAUGCGUAGGUAAGAACCGUUCUUGCUAGAAGCCCGUAGCAGCCACGUAAAACUUGCAACAACAAAGUAGAUGAUGUCUAACUUGUUUUUGCAGGGCAUGUCGUGAUGUGAUAUGGUCAAGACGUGAUGAGAUAUAAAUUGUUCUAUGAGAUGAUCAUGUUUUGUAAAAGUUAUCGGCAACUAGCAGGAGCCUUAUGGUUGUCGCUUUAUUGUAUGAAAUGCAAUCGCCAUGUAAUUGAUUUACUUUAUCACUAAGCGAUAGCGAUGGUCGUAGAAGCAAUAGUUGGCGAGACGACAACAAUGCUACGAUGGAGAUCAAGAUGUCAAGCCGGCGAUGAUGGAUAUUAUGACGAUGCUUUGAAGAUGGAGAUCAAAGGCCCAAGAUGAUGAUGGCCAUAUCGUCACAUAUUUUGAUUGCUUGUGAUGUUUAUCUUCUAUGCAUUUUAUUUUCCUUAGUACGGAAGUAGCAUUAUAAGAUGAUCUCUCACUAAAUUUUAAGGUACAAGUGUUCUCCCUGAGUAUGUACCGUUGCUACAGUUCGUCGUGCCGAGACACCACGUGAUGAUCGGGUGUGAUAAGCUCUACGUUCACAUACAAUGGGUGCAAGCCAGUUUUGCACAUGCAGAAUACUCGGGUUAAACUUGACGAGCCUAGCAUAUGCAGAUAUGGCCUCAGAACAUUGAGACCGAAAGGUCGAACGUGAAUCAUAUAAUAGAUAUGAUCAACAUAGUGAUGUUCACCAUUGAAAACUACUCCAUCUCACGUGAUGACCGGACAUGGUUUAGUUGAUAUGGAUCCCGUGAUCAUUUAGAUGACUAGAGGGAUGUCUAUCUAAGUGGAAGUUCUUAAGUAAUAUGAUUAAUUGAACUUUAAUUUAUCAUGAACUUAGUACCUGAUAGUAUUUGCAUGUCUAUGUUGUUGUAGAUCAAUGGCCCGUGCUACCGUUCCCUUGAAUUUUAAUGCGUUCCUAGAGAAAGCUAAGUUGAAAGAUAAUGUCGCAACUACACGGAAUGGGUCCGUAACUUGAGGAUUAUCCUCAUUGAUGCAUAGAAGAAUUACGUCCUGUGAGCACCGCUAGGUGCAAGACCCGCUGCAGGAGAAACUCUGGACGUUGUGAACAUUGGGCAGAGCAAAGCUGAUGACUACUCGAUAGUUCGGCGUGCCAUGCUUUAUGGCUUAGAAUCGGGACUUCAAAGACGUUUUGAACGUCAUGGAGCAUAUGAGAUGUUCUAGGAGUUGAAGUUAAUAUUUCAAGAAAAUGCCUGAAUUGAGAGAUAUGAAGUCUGCAAUAAGUUCUAUAGCUGCAAAAUGGAGGAGAAUAGUUCUGUCAGUGAACAUAUACUCAGAAUGUCUGGGUACCACAACCACUUGACUCAACUAGGAGUUAAUCUUCCUGAUGAUAGUGUCAUUGACAGAGUUCUUCAAUCACUGCCACCAAGCUACAAAAGCUUCAUGAUGAACUAUAAUAUGCAAGGGAUGGAUAAGACAAUUCCCGAGCUCUUCACAAUGCUAAAGGCUGCGGAGGUCGAAAUCAAGAAGGAGCAUCAAGUGUUGAUGGUUAACAAGACCACUAGUUUCAAGAAAAAGGGCAAAGGGAAGAAGGGGAACUUCAAGAAGAACGGAAAGUAAGUUGCUGCUCAAGUGAAGAAGCCCAAGUCUGGACCUAAGCCUGAGACUGAGUGCUUCUACUACAAAGGGACUGGUCACUGGAAGCAGAACUGCCCCAAGUAUUUGGCGGAUAAGAAGGAUGGCAAAGUGAAAGGUAUAUUUGAUAUACAUGUUAUUGAUGUGUACCUUACUAAUGCUUGUAGUAGAGCCUGGGUAUUUGAUACUAGUUCUGUUGCUCAUAUCUGCAACUCAAAGUAGGGGCUACGGAUUAAAAGAAGAUUGGCUAAGGACGAGGUGACGAUGCACGUGGGAAAUGGUUCCAAAGUCGAUGUGAUCGCCGUCGGCACGCUACCUCUACACCUACCGUCGGGAUUAAUUUUAGACCUAAAUAAUUUUUAUUUGGUGCCAGCGUUGAGCAUCAGAAUUAUAUCUGGAUCUUGUUUGAUGCAAGACGGUUAUUCAUUUAAAUAAGACAAUAAUGGUUGUUCUAUUUAUAUGAGUGAUAUCUUUUAUGGUCAUGCACCCUUGAUGAGUGGUCUAUUUUUGUUGAAUCUCGAUUGUAGUGAUACACAUAUUCAUAAUAUUAAAGCCAAAAUAUGCAAGGUUAAUAAUGAUAGUGCAACUUAUUUGUGGCACUGCCGUUUAUGUCAUAUUGGUGUAAAGCGCAUGAAGAAACUCCAUGUUGAUGGGCUUUUGGAAUCACUUGAUGCUUGCGAACCAUGCCUCAUGGGAAAGAUGACUAAGACUCCAUUCUCCAGAACAAUGGAGUGAGCAACUGACUUCUUGGAAAUAAUACAUAUCGAUGUAUGCGGUCCGAUGAGUGUUGAGGCUUGCGGCGGUAUCGUUAUUUUCUGACCUUCACAGAUGAUUUGACAAGAUAUGGGUAUAUCUACUUGAUGAAACAUAAGUUUGAAACAUUUGAAAAGUUCAAAGAAUUUCAGAGUGAAGUGGAAAAUCAUUGUAACAAGAAAAUAAAGCUUCUACGAUCUGAUCGUGGAGGUGAAUAGUUGAGUUAUGAGUUUGGUCUUCAUUUGAAACAAUGUGGAAUAGUUUUGAAACUCACGCCACCUGGAACACCACAGCGUAAUGGUGUGUCCAAACAUCGUAACCAUACUUUAUUAGAUAUGAUGCGAUCUAUAAUGUCUCUUACAGAUUUAACGCUAUUGUUUUGGGGUUAUGCUUUAGAUAUAGAUGCAUUCACGUUAAAUAGGGCACCAUCUAAAUCCGUUGAGACGACACCAUAUGAACUGUGGUUUGGCAAGAAACCUAAGUUGUCAUUUCUUAAAGUUUGGGGCCGCGAUGCUUAUAUGAAAAAACUUCAACCUGAUAAGCUCGAACCCAAAUUAGAGAAAUGUGUCUUCAUAGGAUACCCAAAGGAGACUGUUGGGUACACCUUCUAUCAUAGAUCCGAAGGCAAGAUAUCCGUUGCUAAGAAUGUCUCCUUUCUAGAGUAGGUGUUUCUCUCGAAAGAAGUGAGUGGGAGGAAAGUAGAACUUGAUGAGGUAAUUGUACCUUCUCCCGACUUGGAAAGUAGUUCAUCACAAAAAUUAGUUCCAGUGAUUCCUACACCAAUCAGUGAGGAACCUAAUGAUGGUGAUCAUGAAACUUCAGAUCAAGUUACUACCGAACCUCGUAGGUCAACUAGAGUACGAUCCGCACCAGAGUGGUACAGUAAUCCUGUUCUGGAGGUCAUGUUACUUGACCAUGACGAACCUACGAACUAUGAGGAAGUGAUGAUGAGCUCAGAUUCCGUGAAAUGGCUUGAGGCCAUGAAAUCUGAGAUGAGAUCCAUGUAUGAGAACAAAGUGUGGACUUUGGUUGACUUGCCCGAUGAUCGACAAGCCAUAUAAAAUAAAUGGAUCUUCAAGAAGAAGACUGACGUUGACGGUAAUGUUACUGUCUACAAAGCUCGACUUAUUGCGAAAGGUUUUUGACAUGUUCAAGGAGUUGACUAUGAUGAGACCUUCUCACCCAUAGUGAUGCUUAAGUCUGUCCGAAUCAUGUUAGCAAUUGCCGCAUUUUAUGAUUAUGAAAUUUGGCAAAUGGAUGUCAAAAUUGCAUUCCUUAAUGGAUAUCUUAAAGAAGAGUUGUAUAUGAUGCAACCAGAAGGUUUAGUCAAUCCUAAAGGUGCUAACAAAGUGUGCAUGCUCCAGCGAUCCAUUUAUGGACUGGUGCAAGCCUCACGGAGUUGGAAUAUACGCUUUGAUAGUGUGAUCAAAGCAUAUGGUCUUAUACAGAUUUUUGGAUAAGCCUGUAUUUACAAGAAAGUGACUGGGAGCUCUGUAGCAUUUCUAAUAUUAUAUGUGGAUGACAUAUUGUUGAUUGGAAAUAAUACAGAAUUUCUAGAUAUCAUAAAAUGAUAUUUGAAUAAGAAUUUUUCAAUAAAAGACCUCGGUGAAGCUGCUUAUAUAUUGGGCAUCAAGAUCUAUAGAGAUAGAUCAAGACGCUUAAUUGGACUUUCACAAAGCACAUACCUUGACAAAGUUUUGAAGAAGUUCAAAAUGGAUCAGUCAAAGAAAAGGUUCUUGCCUGUGUUACAAGGUGUGAAGUUGAGUCAGACUCAAUGCCCGACCACUGCAGAAGAUAGAGAGAAAAUAAAAGUCAUUGCCUAUGCCUCAGCCAUAGGUUCUAUCAUGUAUGCAAUGCUGUGUACCAGACCUGAUGUGUGCCUUGCUAUAAGUUUAGCAGGGAGGUACCAAAGUAAGCCAGGAGUGGAUCUCUGGACAGCGGUCAAGAACAACUUGAAAUACCUGAAAAGGACUUAGGAUAUGUUUCUCGUUUAUGGAGGUGACAAAGAGCUCGUCGUAAAUGGUUACGUCGAUGCAAGCUUUGACACUGAUCUGGAUGAAUCUAAGUCAUAAACCGGAUACGUAUUUAUAUUGAAUGGUGGAGCUGUCAGUUGGUGCAGUUCCAAGCAGAGCGUCGUGGCGGGAUCUACUUGUGAAGCGGAGUACAUAGCUGCUUCAGAAGCAGCAAAUGAAGGGGUCUGGAUGAAGGAGUUCAUAUCCGAUCUAGGUGUAAUACCUAGUGCAUCGGGUCCAAUGAAAAUCUUUUGUGACAAUACUGGAGCAAUUGCCUUGGCGAAGGAAUCUAGAUUUCACAAGAGAACCAAACACAUCAAGAGACGCUUCAAUUACAUCCGUGAUCAAGUCAAGGAGGGAGACAUUGAGAUUUGCCAGAUACAUAUGGAUCUGAAUGUUGCAGAACCGUGGACUAAGCCUCUCUCACGAGCAAAACAUGAUCAUCACCAAGACUCCAUGGGUGUUAGAAUCAUUACUAUGUAAUCUAGAUUAUUGACUCUAGUGCAAGUGGGAGACUGAAGGAAAUAUGCCCUAGAGGCAAUAAUAAAGUUGUUAUUUAUAUUUUCUUAUAUCAUGAUAAAUGUUUAUUAUUCAUGCUAGAAUUGUAUUAACCGGAAACUUAGUACAUGUGUGAAUACAUAGACAAACAGAGUGUCCCUACUAUGCCUCUACUUGACUAGCUCAUUAAUCAAGGAUGGUUAAGUUUCCUAAACAUAGACAUGUGUUGUCAUUUGAUGACCGGGAUCACAUCAUUAGAGAAUGAUGUGAUGGACAAGACCCAUCAAUUAGCUUAGCAUAAUGAUCAUUUAGUUUUAUUGCUAUUACUUUCUUCAUGACUUAUACAUGUUCCUCUGACUAUGAGAUUAUGCAACUCCCAAAUACCGAAGGAACACCUUGUGUGCUAUCAAACGUCAUAACAUAACUGGGUGACUAUAAAGAUGCUCUACAGGUGUCUCCAAUGGUGUUUGUUGAGUUGGCAUAGAUCGAGAUUAGGAUUUGUCACUCCAUGUAUCGGAGAGGUAUCUCUAGGCCCUCUCGGUACUGCACAUCAUUAUGAGCCUUGCAACCAGUGUGACUAAUGAGUUAGUUAUGGGAUGAUGCAUUACGGAAUGAGUAAAGAGACUUGCCGGUAACAAGAUUGAACUAGGUAUGAAGAUACCGACGAUCGAAUCUCGGGCAAGUAACAUACCGCUGACAAAAGGGAACCAAUAUGAGCAUCGAGGUUCCGUUAUUGGUUGUUGACCGGAGAUGUGUCUCGGUCAUGUCUACAUAGUUCUCGAAUCCAUAGGGUACUCACGCUUAACGUUUGAUGACGAUUUAUAUAAUGAGUUAUGUGAUUUGAUGACGUUCGGAGUCCCGGAUGAGAUCACGGACAUGACGAGGAGUCUCCAAAUUCUUGAGAGGUAAAGAUCGAUGUAUUGGAAGGUUACAUUCGGACACGAGAAUGGUUCCGAAGUGUUUUGGGUAUUUUUUGGAGUACUGGGAGGUUACCGGGACCCCCCCAGGGAAGUAGUGGGCCUUAAUGGGCUCUAGUGGAAAGGAGAGAAGGGCCUGAAGGGGUGGCGGCGCCCCCCAUGCUUGGUCUGAAUUGGACUAGGAUGGGGCGGCACCCCCCUAUUUCCUUCUCCCCUCUUCCUCCUUCCAUCCUUCUCCUUGUUGGAAUAGGAAAGGGAGGGGGGCGAAUCCUACUUGGAUCGGGAGUCCAAGUAGGACACCCCCCUUUGGCGCUCCCCCUUGGGACGGCCUCCUCUUCCCCCCUCCUUUAUAUACGUGGGAGGGGGGAACCCCAAAGGCACACCAAGUCUUCUCUUAGCCGUGUGCGGUGCCCCCCUCCACAGUUACACACCUCGGUCAUAUCGUCGUAGUGCUUAGGUGAAGCCCUGCGCCAGUGACUUCAUCAUCACCGUGAACACGCUGUCGUGCUAACGAAACUCUCCCUCGUCCUCAACUGGAUCAAGAGCUCGAGGGACGUCAUCAUGCUGAAUGUGUGCUAAACACGGAGGUGCCGUACGUUUGGUGCUAGGACCGGUUGGAUCGCGAAGACGUUCGACUACAUCAACCACGUUACUAAAUGCUUCCGCUUUUGGUCUACGAGGGUAUGUGGACACACUCUCCCCUCUCGCUGCUAUGCAUCUCCUAGAUAGAUCUUGCGUGAUCGUAGGAAAUUUUUUAAAACACUGCGUUCCCCAACAAUGGGCGCGCCCCCAGGGCUUGUGGCCUCUGGGUGGCCCCCCUGUGGUUGAUUCUUGCGCCAAUAUUUUUUAUAUAUUCCAAAAAUAUUCUCCUUAAUUUUUCAGGUCAAUCCGAGAACUUUUAUUUAUGCACAAAAAUAACACCAUGGCAAUUCUGCUGAAAACAGCUUCAGUCCAGGUUAGUUCCAUUCAAAUCAUGCAAGUUAGAGUCCAAAACAAGGGCAAAAGAGUUUGGGAAAGUAGAUACUAUGGAGACAUAUCAACCAUCAUCGUAUACAUGACUUGAGCAUUCUUUGUCAUAUUGCUUUGCAUGAUCGUAAGAUAGCUAGCAUGAUAUUUUCAUGGCUUGUCCAUUGUUUUUUUGAUAUCUUCGCUACACUAGAUCAUUGCACAUCCUGGUACACUGCCAGAGGCAUUCAUAUAGAUCCAUAUUCUUUUAGUUUAUCAAGUUGUAAGUAAAUAAAAGUGUGAUCCAUUCUAGACCCUACAUGUGAGGAUAUAAAAAAGAGAGGCCAAAAAUAACCCACCAAAAAGAGAAAACAAAAAGAAUGAGAGAAAAAGAGAGAGGGGGCACACUACUAUCCUUUUACCACACUUGUGCUUCUAAGUAGCACAAUGUUCUUCAUAUAGAGAGUCUCCAUCAGUGGUCACUACUAGUGGGAAUUUUUAAGUAUAGAACUUGGCUUAUAUAUUCCGAUGACGGGCUUCCUCAAAUGCCUGAGGUCUUCAUGAUCAAGCAAGUUGGAUGUACACCCACUUAUUUUCAGUAGUGACCUUUCAUACACUUAUAGCUCUAGUGCAUAUGUUGCAUGGGAGUCCCUACUCCUCACAUCGAUAUCGAUUGAAAGGCAUCUCCAUUGCCUAACGAUUCCCCAAGUUGAUGCGGGACCUUCUCUAUUUUUGUCUUACUUGAACUCCUACCAUCAUUCUCUAUGCCACAAAAAGUGCUAAGUCCAUUGCUCACACUCAGGUAUUAAGUGAAGUUGAAAGUGUUGAAGCGCGUGAAAAAGUAUGAUACAAUUGCUUGGUUUGGUACCAGGGUACUCUUAAUUUGAUACAUUUAUGUAGGGAAGACUAAGCGUGUCAUGCUUACCAGAUCUAAGUGUAUAGAGGUUGUUUCCCUUAGCUCUGUUAUUAUGAAAGGCAAUGAUGAAUUACAUGCAUGUUUUGUAUUAUUGUUUCAACAUCAAAUUGAUACACGAUUGCCUUCACCCGCAAAAAAGAUAGAAAAUUGCCUCGAAUUACUCGUAUCCUAAUAUUCAUGUCAUAAUUAGAUUAUAUGAUCAAGAUUAUGUUUUGUAGCAUUCCACAUCAAAAAUUAUGUUUUUAUCAUUUACCUACUCGAGGACGAACAUGAAUUAAGCUUGGGGAUACUGAUACAUCUUUGUCAUAUCUAUAAUUUUUGAUUGUUUCGUGCCAAUAUUAUACAAUGUUAUAUACUUUUGGCAACAAUUUAUAUUAUUUUUUUGGACUAACAUAUUGAUCCAAUGCCUAGUGUCAGUUCCUAUUUUUUGCAUGUUUUUUGUUUCCGAAAAAUCCAUAUCAAACGAAGUCCAAACGCGAUAAAAUUUUACGGAGAUUUUUAUUGUAAUAUUUGUAAAUUUUGGGCACAAGAAUCAAUGCAAACGGAAUCCCACAGCCUCCACAAAGCAAUAGGGUGCCACCACCCCCCACCGCGUGGGGUAAUGCCUUGUGGACUACUCGUAAGUUGGUUGGAGCCCUUCUUCGGCCGGAAGGAAUCUUAUAUCAGUAAAAAAUAGUGUUAAUUUUUUAGCCCAAUAGAAGUUAUGGAUCUCCGGGAAUAUAAGAAACGGUUGCCAAAAAUAGAGAUGUGAAAUAGAAGAGAAACACACACACACACACACACACACACACACACAGAGAGAGAGAGACAGAGAGACAGAGAGAGAGAUAGAGAGAGAGAGAUAGAGAUAGAGAGAGAGAGGCUCCUGCCCUCUGGGAACCAUGGCGGCCAAGUUAUGGAUCUCCUUCUCUAUUUUUUAUUGUUCCAUGCUAUUAUAUUAUCUGUUUUGGAUGUUUUAUAUGCAUUAUUAUGCUAUUUUAUAUUAUUUUUGGAACUAACUUAUUAACCUAGAGCCUAGUGCCAGUUUCUGUUUUAUCCUUGUUUUUAAGUUCCGCAGAAAAGGAAUAUCAAACGGAGUCCAAACGGAAUAAAACUUUGUGAUGAUUUUUCUUGGACCAGAAGACACCCAGGGGACUAGGAGUCCAAGUCAGAAGAGCCGCGAGGCGGUGGCAAGGGUGGAGGGCGCGCCCCUACCUUGUGGGCCCCUCAGAACUCUCCCUACCUAGCUCUUCGUCCUAUAUAUUCACAUAUAUAUUCCAAAACCCUUCAGGGGAGCCACGAAACCACUUUUCCACCGCUGCAACCUUCUGUACCCGUGAGAUCACAUCUUGGGGCCUUUUCCGGCCAUCUGCCGGAGGGGGAUUCGAUCACGGAGGGCUUCUACAUCAACCCUAUUGCCCUUCCGAUGAAGCGUGAGUAGUUUACCUCAGACCUAUGGAUCCAUAGCUAGUAGCUAGAUGGCUUCUUCUCUCUCUCUUUGAUUCUCAAUAUGACGUUCUCCUUGAUGUUCUUGGAAAUCUAUCCGAUGUAAUCUUCUUUUGCGGUGUGUUUGUCGAGAUCCGAUGAAUUGUGGAUUUAUGAUCAUAUUACCUAUGAAUAUUAUUUGAAUCUUCUCUGAAUUCUUAUAUGCAUAAUUUUAUAUCUUUGUAUUUCUCUUUGAAUAAUCGGUAUGGUUUGGCCAACUAGAUUGGUUUUUCUUGCAAUGGGAGAGGUGCUUAGUUUUGGGUUCAAUCUUGCGGUGUCCUCACCCAGUGACAAAGUAGGGGAAGCGAGGCACGUAUUUUAUUGUUGCCAUCAAGGAUAAAAAGAUGGGGUUUUCUUCAUAUUGCUUGAGUUUAUCCCUCUACAUCAUGUCAUCUUACUUAAUGUGUUACUCUGUUCUCUUGAACUUAAUACUCUAGAUGCAAGUAGGAGUUGGUCGAUGUGUGGAGUAAUAGUAGUGGAUACAGACAUGAGUCGGUUUACUUGACAUGUAUGUGAUGCCUAUAUGCAUAAUCAUUGCCUUGGAUAUCAUCAUUGCGCAUUUUCUAUCAAUUGCUCGACAGUAAUUUGUUCACCCACCAUAUUAUUUGCCUUUAUGAGAGAAGCCUAUAGUGAAACCUAUGGCCCCCAGGUCUAUUUUCCAUCAUAUUUGUUUCCGAUCUACUAUUUUGCAAUCUUUAAUUUUCAGAUCUAUAAACCAAAAAAACAAAAAAAAUUAUCUUUUGUUUAGUCUUAUCUAUCUCUAUCAGAUCUCACCUUUGCAAGUGACCGUGAAGGGAUUCACAACCCCUUUAUCGUGUUGGGUGCAACUGUUUGAUUGUUUGUGCAGGUGCAUAGAUUGGGGACUUUCUUGCACCUCCUACUGGAUUGAUACCUUGGUUCUCUAACUGAGGGAAAUACUUAUCUCUACCUUGCUGCAUCGCCCUUUCCUCUUCAAGGGAAAAACCAAUGCAAGCUCAAGAAGUAGCAGGAAUAAUUUCUAGCGUCGUUGCCGGUGAGGUCUACAUCAAGCCUACCAAGUACCCAUCAUAAACUCUCAUCUCUUGCAUUACAUUAUUUGCCAUUUGCUUCUCGUUUUCCUCUCCCCCGGUUGUAAAAAGAUUUUCCAAAAAACACAAAAAGAUUUGCCUAAUUAUUCGCCUUCUUUCCACGUGCCUUUUCGCUCGUUUGCUAUAUUUGCUUGUGUUGCCAUGUGCCUUCUAUUUGCUUGCAUCUUUGCUUGCUAAAAAUCUAUUGAUAUGGAUCCACUUAAAGUUUUCUACUUGGAUCAUCUUCAAUCCAUAUGUGCUCGUGCUAAAACUCCAACUAGUUUAGUUGGGGGGAAAUCUUUAGAUGAGCAUGCUCAUUUUGUGCGUCACCAUUUUUCUGAAAAAGGGAGACUCUUAUGGAAUCAAAUAAAUUGUUUGCUAUGUUAUGCUUGGAAUCUUUGUGAACUUUGUGAUUUUACUUGUUGCUCUAAGAACCCUAAAAACACCUUCCCGACCUAUGUGAGUUUAAUGAUAAUGAAAUUUUAUCUUCUUAUGAAAAGGGUGUUUAUAGUUACGAUAUCGAACAAAUUGAAGAAUUUGUUGCUUUUAAGGGUGCUUAUGAAGUUUCUUCUUUGAUUGAAAAGUAUGAUAUUACUCUCUACAAAUCUGAAAAUUUUGACAUACUUAAAUAUUGCUAUGAAAACUAUGCUCGCAACGCCUAUGUCAAAGAAUUUAUUGAGAGAGUAACCGUUGAUUUGGAAGAAAAUAAUGAUAUGCAUGAAUCUAUAUAUAAUUAUGAUUCCGGUGAUUUGAUUGAGAUACCCUCCCUUGAUGAGUGUGAUGCUUUCUAUUCUUGUGGCCAUGAUUCCAAUAUUUAUGGAGAUGAAUUUGCUAUAGUCCCUUAUGUUAAACAUGAGAUUGUUGCUAUUGCACCCAUACUUGAUAGUUCCUUGAAUCAAAAGCAUGAUUGCAAUGAUGUUAAUAUAAAUUAUAUUAAUGUCAAUUGUGCUAAUAAUAUGCAAAACCCCAAGCUUGGGGAUGCUAGUUUUGCUAUGUCCACUACUUAUUGCAAUGGUCAUGAUUGGGGUGAUAAUGCUUCUUAUGAUCUUGAAAAUUUAUUUAAGCCUCAUGAUAAUAUGGUUGCCAUAAUGUUGAAAGUGGGUUUGGAAGAGUUUCAACUUCAGGAAAUAAUGAUCCCACUACUUUGGAGUAUAAUCGAUCUUAUGAGUUUUUUGAUAAAAGUGGGCUUGGAGAGGUCAUGACUUUAUUUGAUGAUAAUCCCACUAUUUUGGAAGAGUGUCAAGUUUGCAUGCAUGUGGAUCAUGAAGAGAAUAUUUUAUGUGAUAGUUAUAUUGUUGAAUUUGAAUAUGGUCCCACAUGUAAUUUUUAUGAGAGAGGAAAAUAUGGUUGUAGAAAUUUUCAUGUUACAAAACUACCUCUCGUUAUGUUGAGAUUGCUAUUGUUUCUUUUCUUCUUCCUUGCAUAUGGUAGUUUUUGCUUGUCUUGAUAAUUUGUUUGCUUAUAAAAUGCCUAUGCAUAGGAAGUAUGUUAGACUUAGAUGUGUUUUUCACAUGCUACAUGAUGCUCUCUUCGUGUUUCAAUUUCUAUCUUUCAUGUGAGCAUCAUCAAAAUUAUCAAUGCCUAGCUAGGGGCGUUAAACAAUAGCGCUUGUUGGGAGGCAACCCAAUUUAUCUUUAUUUUUGCUUUUUUUGGUUCUGUUUUUUAAAUAAAGUUUUCAUCUUGCCUCGAUGUGUUUUUAUGUUUUAAUUAGUGUUUGUGCCAAGUAAGACCUUUGGGAUGGCUUACGGUGAUAGUUGAUUUGAUCUUGCUGAAAAACAGAAACUUUUGUGCCUAGUAAAAUAAUUUUCACUUUUAACAGAAGCGUGAUAAAAUACUGAUUCUUUCUUCAGAAGAUUAAUAUACAAAUUUCCUAUGUUUUCCUAAAUUUUCAGAAUUUUUGGAGGUACAGAAGUACUCGAGAUUUACAUAUUGCUAUAGACUAUUCUGGUUUUGACAGUUUCUGUUUUCUAUGUGUUGUUUGCUUAUUUUGAUGAAUCUAUGUGUAGUAUUGGGGGUAUGAACCAUGGAAAAGUUGGAAUACAAUAGAUAUUACACCAAUAUAAAUAAAGAAUGAGUUCACAAUAGUACCAAAAGAGGUGAUUUAUUUUCUUAUACUAACGAAUCUCAUGAGUUUUCUGUUGAGUUUUGUGUUGUGAAGUUUUCAAGUUUUGCGUAAAGAUUUGAUCGACUAUGGAAUAAGGAGUGGCAAGAGCCUGAGAUUGGGCAUGGCCAAGGCACCCCAAGAUAAAAUUCAAGGACAACCAAGAGCCCAAUCUUGGGGAUGCCCCGGAAGGCAUCCCCUCUUUCGUCUUCGUCUAUCGGUAAAUUUAUUUGAGGCUAUAUUUUUAUUCACCACAUGAUAUGUGUUUUGCUUGGAGCGUAUUGUAUGAUAUGAGUCUUUUCUUUUUAAUUUUCCUCAAUUAUCCUUGCUGUACACAGGUUUUGAGAGGGACACGCAUGAAUCGUGAUUUAUUAGAAUACUCUAUGUGCUUCACUUAUAUCUUUUGAGCUAGGCAAUUUUGCUCUAGUGCUUCACUUAUAUUUUUUGAGAGCACGACGGUGGUUUUAUUUUAUAGAAAUUUUCAAGAUCUCUUGCUUCACUUAUAUUAUUUUGAGAGUCUCUCUAAACAACAUGGUAAUUUUUUAGGUUAUCAAUUUAGUCCUAAUAUGAUGGGCAUCCAAGAGGGAUGUAAUAAAAACUUUCAUAAAAAGUGCGUUGAAUACUACGUGAAGUUUGAUUCCUUAUGAUUAUUUUGAGAUAUAAAGAUGGUGAUAUUAGAGUCAUGCUAGUGAGUAAUUGUGGAUUGGUAGAAAUACUUGUAUUAAAGUUUGUGAUUCCCGUAGCAUGCGCGUAUGGUGAACCUUUAUGUGAUGAAGUCGGGGCAUGAUUUAUUUAUUGAUUGUCUUCCUUAUGAGUGGCGGUUAGGGACGAGCGAUGGUCUUUUCCUACCAAUAUACACCCUAGGAGCAUGCGUCUAUUACUUCGUUUCGACAACUAAUAAUUUUUUGCAAUAAGUAUGUGAGUUCUUUAUGACUAAUGUUGAGUCCAUGGAUUUUACGCACUCUCACCCAUCCACCAUUGCUAGCCUCUCUAGUACCGCGCAACUUUCACCGAUGCAUUAAACCCACCAUUUACCUUCCUCAAAACAGUCACCAUACCUACCUAUUAUGGCAUUUCCAUAGCCAUUCCGAGAUACAUUGGCAUGCAACUUUCCACCGUUCCGUUUGACGGUGUCCUGGACUAGAGGGUACUCACCACGUCGUCUCCCGACCAGCUGGAUCGGGCCGAGGACCCCCAUGGCGGUUCACUUAUAGGCCACUUCGGGCAGCCCAUGCCGCAUACAAGAAGGAUUCCACAAGACUUGGCACCCAAGACAAGGACUCCUCUGAACCCUAGGCCUCUGGUGUGUUAUAUAAACCGAGGCCAGGCUAGUAAAUAGAACAUCUCAUUCAUUACUACAAUCUUAUGCUAGAUACAUGUACUAUGUACUAUCCUCAUAUGAAUACAAUCAAAAGCAGGACAUAGGGUUUUACCUCCAUCAAGAGGGCCCGAACCUGGGUAAAAUUCUGUGUCCAUGUUACCAUUGCUCCAAGACGCCUAGCUUAGGACCCCUACUACAAGAUAUGCCGGGUAUAGAACCGACAUUGGUGCUUUCAAUGAGAGCCUGCCGGCAGCCGCCACGGUGCGAUGGGAAUUCAAACCAUCUCCGGCGCGAUCUACGCAUCGGAGCCGAGCUUUAUGGUCGAUAUCGGCAUCUUUGUUGCCAGCUCGGCUGGUCACCUUGGCUGGAUCGAGGACCAUGCUCCAUGUCAGAUCAAAAAGAUCAGACAGAUAAUUUCAUUAUCAUCAGCUCAAAUUUCAACCGAGACCAUGGAAAAGUCAUCCAUGGAGCCUGGGGGCUCAUCAUGAACAUUGCUCUCGUGCGAUCACACAGUUUUUUCUGUACAUCAGACUUGUUUUCGCUGCUACCAUCUCUUCGGGAGUCGAUUUGACGAAUCCUUUGGUUAAAUUGUGCGGAAUUGAGUAUACAACGACCCUGUAAAAAUUUGUCGCCUUCCAAUGUAGGAAUCUCCGGUGAUCUAUGAUAUACCGGAGGCCUGUUGAGUCUGUAUGGGAAUCUGGGCGAGUUUAAGGUGUGGUCUCGAGAUCCUAGCUCGGAGGUUAUUUGGAAUAUCCAACCAUUUAUCUUCUGCAGAAUUUCCAUAUCUACCACCUCCCAAAAUUUCAGCUCGAUCCGACCGUUCCAACUUUGGGAACCUUCCGAUUAGUGCAUCACUUUUCAGAUGUGUUUUUUGCGCGAAUACGAAUCCGACCUGAGUUCAUCUUUUUUCAUGAAUGAGAUAUUGGACAACCUUUUUGGAAGAAUCUGUUUCUAGGGUAUUGUGUUUUGUUUUCGAACACAUGCUCACAAAUUUUGCUCCUUUUCGGAAGUAAUCUUCACUGUCGUGCUGGUGACAAACCAGCCCUUGCUCCACGUCUGCCGACCUGCGCUAGACAUAUCGUCAUUUCAUCGAGCCGAGCCUAACCUUAUCGGAUUAUUUGCUUGGCAAGCCGAACAAGAGUUCGGCAUCACGAAGGCUAAAUCAUCACCAACACCAUCACCCCAUGGAUCGCACGGGUCAAGCGCAUCAACAUCACCGCUCGGUCACUUCAUCAAUCUGGCAUUGACCGCGUCACAAGUUAUGACCAGCGUCAGCAUGGCCGAGCCGUAGCUUCUUCAAACCGAUGUCUGCCACGCCGAACCGCUUCAACACCUCGGCUGGCACGACGGCUGCAACAUCACCUUACCAACCUGCUCCGUCACCUCGGUUGGACCGAGAGCUUCGCCAUCUCUUCAUCAACCUACUCCGGAGACUUCGGUGUCACCAGCCGACCAGCUUCGUCAUGUUAGCUGGACCGGGGGCUUUGCUUCGCCAUGUCUCGGCCGAGCACGCGCACACAACAUCAAGCUUAUGUUGGCACUAGUACUAUUACUAGAUGCAAAUCCAUGAAUGCCCGCAUGUGUCUCUUUGGAUUGCUACAACAAAUAAACCAGGUGUCGGUGUCAAAACCGACAGAUCUCGGGGUAGGGGAUCCCGAGCUGUGGAUUCUCGGAUCAAUAGUAACAUGAACGAAGGAGACAAUGUUUUACCCAGGUUCAGGCCCUCUUGAUGGAGGUAAAACCCUACGUCCUGCUCUUGUUUAUAUUUAUGGUGUAUCAAGUAUAGAGUUGAUCUACCUCAAGAUCAUAUGUUGUGGUCUAAAACCUGAGGGUAUGAUGAAUAAUGUCGUAAUCUAUCGACUAGCCUGGCCCUGGCUUAUAUAAUGUACCAGAGGCCUAUGAUAACAAGAGUCCUAGUCGAAUAUGUUGGUGGAGAGGAGUCCUUGUCUUGAUCACCAAGCCUUGUGGAAUCUUCCUCGUGUGCGGCAUGGGCUACCCAAAGUGGCCCAUGAGUGAACCGCCAUGGGGGUCCUCAGCCCGAUCCAGCUGGUCGGGAGCCGACGUGGUUAGUAUCCCCUAGUCCAGGACACCGUUAGUAGCCCCCUGAACCGGUCUUCAAGUUGGGGACUCUCCUCGAUUCUUCUGAACUGUUCUUCAUCUUCGUUCGCCUGUCUUGAAAAUGGGUUCAACAAUUUUUCUUAUCUUCGAUCUUGAGGAUCGCCGAAGUAAAUCCGAAGAGUUUACACGUCAGGUAUCCGAGGAGCCCCUUUAUGUUAUCGACCUUUAUCAAUGCCUUGUUAUUUUUACGCCCACCUCAUAUUUGAAGUGUUUCCUGUGCGGUGGUAUCCUCUCGCGUUCGAGCUCUAACAUCGGACUAUAUCCGAGCUCCAUCGUCGGACUAUAUCAGAGGUGUCUUUUUGCAGCCAAGCUCCAACACCGGACUAUAUCUGAGCUUCAAUGCCAGAAUGUAUCCGAGCUCCAAUGCCGGAAAAUAUCUGAGGUGUCAUAGAUCACCUCGUCUCGAAAAAAACUGAAGGAGUUUAACCAAGCUUUAAUGUAGUAAAUGCCCUUUAUGAAGCCAACCAUUUGUAUCCGAGCUUUAUGCCGGACUACAUCCGAGGUGGUGCACUACGUCGGCCGUGGGCUGAUUGUUUCCAUAUUGAAUUCCAAUUUGUGCAAUGUAUUCUCUACCGAGAUAUAUAGCCAGUAGCCCUCAAGGUGCACGUUGGCCUAAUAUCCGGUAUGCACCUGAAGGAUAAAAUCAAACCGCUAACCCUAGUAGCCCCUGAGACUCAGGUCGAUUCGUAAACUCAGCCUGAGGAUCAAUUCCCAGCUCGGCGGCAUACUUAGGAAUAGAAACACGGUGUAAUAUAUUAGAGAAAUAGUGAUGAGCGAACGGGCCCUUGAGAGAGGGUCUUGAUAAGUUGUCGUAAAUCAUAAUAUAUUAGCUUGAUGCCGCAUAGGUCCAGAUGGUACCUAUUGUUGUCCGAAGACGCAUUUGCCCAUAGUUCGGUCAAGCCAAACACUAAGCACUUUGAAUUUUCUGCAUUGAAUAGGCAAUGCAGUAGCCCCCAAGACACUGGUAGGGUGGCAACACCAGAUCAAGGGAUCGAUGUGCCCCUUUAAUAUUUGUAAAUAAUAAGCGCGAAGCCCAGUGCCCCAAGCCUUAAUGUGGGCAUGGGUGGCCGAAUUAGGAUCGAUAUCCGUUUGACAAAAAAAUUUGUUGUGUUUAACGCAAACUUCUUCGAAAGAGAUUAAAGAUCUCAUAAAGGAGUUAGAGCUAACGAAAGCCGAGCUCUCCAAGUUUGGCCUUAAGGGGCUUAAUAGAUAGGAAAUCAAUGCUAAUAGGGAACUAUGAGAGCGUUAUGUCAGCUGCUCGGUUGUCUCAAAGAGACUGUGCCAUUGACUCUUUAAAAGAUUGGCUACUGAAAAAUUGAUUUUUGCUCACAAUUUAUGUGUAAUAAUUCUAUGUACCCAAGUACUUUACAUCAUUAAUGCUCGGAUCCACAUUGUACAAAACUUUGUUGACCGACCAUCGGCUUCAACUUCCUCGGCCAAUAGCCAGGGAGUGUUUGUCCCACUUUGUAAAGACUUUAUGAGAGCAAAGAUUUGUGGCAAACGAGGCAAUCUGGCCAUACGGUUUUAUAAACAAAGGUAUGCAGAGAGAUAUGUUAUAUGAAGAAACAUCUUCCAAAGAAAAUAGUUCCGCUAUCGGUUCCUUUCUUUGGGUUCUCUUGCUGAUCAUGAUCAUGAAACCUCAUCUCCGAUCAAUGUGGGAGGAAAAUACUAAGGAUUUAGUUCGGGGAAAGUUCCCGAACUCUAUGGUCCGAAUGGACCAAAAUUUUCACUUCCGUCGUUGCCGACCAAUUAUAUCCUUUAAGAUCGCUAGCUUUCGGCUUCACCUAGUCUGAGGUACUAACUCGGAUGACCCGGUAGUAACAAUCAUAGAGGUGCUCCCUUUACUGCCUAGCCGAACAAUCGGGAAUGUAGGGGUAAGCACAGGAGCCACGCAACCCAGCUUGGCCAAAAUCUUAAGUCAAAUUGAUGCAUAUUUAUGGCUUUAUAACGAUGAUUAUGGAAGGCAGCCCUCGUAUAUUAAAUACAAAUGCCGAUGAUAUGUUUAUUUUGACUCUGUUGCGACCGUUUAUUAGUUGAAAGUGGCCCAUCGUCAGCUUCCACCCCUUUGUAGAUACCACGCAGGGUGUUUCCGCAGUAACAAGACAACCCUUAGCCGACGUCUCGGUUCUCGGAGGCGGUUGUGUUAGCGGAAACAAGGCAAUCGGAUACGCGGGCUUUAUAACUUUCACUUAGUCAUAGGAGCUUUAAACUGGGGAAGCUAGCUACGAGCCCGUGGUUAGUGUUUGGCACCGACCGAAGUCUAGCCAUUAACAGUCCGGCCAAUGUUAUGAAUGGCCCAUAGUUUAACACAGUCAUCGGAUCGCUGGGCAGUUUAUGCUUAUUGUGACUGUUAGUUCUCGGCUUUCUCCACUGAGGCGCUUAACCAUGCGAGCUGAAAGCACAAUCGCAGUUGUCCUCCCUUUGCACACCUAGCCGAACAAAGCGGAACGAAGGAGGCAAGCACAGGAGCCGGGCAACCCAACUAUUGACCAAAGACACAAUUCGAAACCGAUGCAUAUAAAGCAAUACCCAAGAAUGUUUUGCCGAAUCUCUAAAGGUGUCCGGCGUUGCACUGCGAGACUUAUGCUGGAACCACACAAAUAGUUUAAAAGUGCCACAGGCUUAAAAACCAAAAAACCUCAGUAAAAACUGUACACCCUAACUAAAUCAAGUUUUUGGUGCCAAUCUGAAAAUUGGUCUUAAAAAAAUUGUGCUACUGUCAUGCUUUAACAUGACACACCUGAUCUCAAGACUUUAAGCAGGUCAGCAUAUGGCUUCAACUUCCUAUCCCGAAGGCGGAGUACUUCUCAUUAGGCCAAUUUAGUGAACUAAACUCGAGCGACUUUAAAAGAGAAACUAUGCUCCCCGGCUAUUGACCACACACUCGAGUCGAAAAAGGUGUGGUAGAAACAGACUUUGCAACGACCAAGAAGAAAACACACUGUUCGCACACGAACACGUCACCGUGUACCCUCGAAGCCGGGGGUGAUGCACCCCAGCUUGCGUCGAAGAAGAUCUGACCGGCAGCGCGAUACGCAGGACAGCCGGCAGAUGCUUUUGUAGACCCGAAGCCCCGCUUGCCCGGGAGGGACCCCGUCAGGGCUCGCGGUGGCUAUGGGCUGCUCCAGGUCGAUUCACUCGCCCCUAGAGCCUCGUGGAUCCGCAGCCCUCCAGCAUGAAGAACUAGUGAAGAACGAGAAGAAAGAUACAAAUGAGAGAUAAAAAGUAGAUGAACACGAAAAAGUAGUAGAUGUGUUUGUUCAAUUGGUGUUGUUUCAAUCGGCCGUUGCCCGAACAUAUAUAGGAGGUGGCUGGACUUCCCGUAAAAGCAAAAUAUUCAUCUAGGAUUUCCUCACAAGAAAAUUACAUCAAUUCACGGCCAAAACCCUAGUCAAAUUCGGAUUGGUUUAUCCGAACUUUUCAAAACUGUUCGUUUAAACUAGCUGUACCUUGCGGGUAUUGUUUGUGGUGGCAAACGACCUCAGAUGGAAAUGAGUCCAAAAGCAAUCUUGACCGUUUCGACGAGACGAACAACUUUCAUGUUGAACGUUUUUACAUCAGAGGUCAUUUCGAAGGUCAAAUCGCUCGUUCAAGACAGCUAAUUAUUCACGCAGCACAUCAGACAUACCCACAUAUGUGUCUGGUUCCGGGCGUCAUAUUUUUGCUUGGAGGGUCGUGCUGUGCGGGAUCUAACUUUUGCAUAUGACCUCGUAUUGAGACGAUCUUUAUAUCACAAUCGAUCGUUUCAACUAGACGAAGACAAUUCAUGUAGAUCAUUUUUCAAUAUGGGGCAGUCUUGGGGGUGUAAUCAGCCGAAAAGUCUUCUGGAUACAAAAUCUCAAUACUUCGAACACAACUUCGGCCUUAGAGAUGAGAUCGGAUGGAUAUGGCCCAAAUAUCAAAGUUUAUCCUUUUGAUGAUACGAAACUUUCUCACUUUGAGAACUUUUUCAUUUGAGGCCAUAUUUAUUAAGUUCUCGGCCGUGUCAAGAUCUGGUGUCAACACAUGCCCCCCUGUUUUUUGGCAAACUUGUGUGCCGAAACAUAACUUGCACGAUGAUUUUUCUAAGGACGAUGUCAACACUCCAUCGGCCAUUUUGCAUGUUCUUAGGACGAUAAGUAUAUAUCGGCCAUUGCUUGUUUGAACCUCUUGAGGCAAACUUGGGUGAAAACUUCUCAGCUUCUAUAACAAUCCGGUGAUAAGGUUCCAUAGACCAAAACCAUCCUCCAAACCAUAUUGUUCUCCCUUUCGCUAGGAUUUUGCAGAUAAUCAAGAAUGAACUUCCUCCAAUCCUUACUUCACCUGCAUAAAAGUUUCAUUAGUGGUCGAAGCGGUGGGCUUCGGUUCGGCCUUACCUAUAUUGACAAGACCUAUCAUCGGCUAUUGAUAGAAAUGUAAUACACCAUGGUUAACAUAGUAGCCGGAUGCUUGCUGUGCCAACUCUUUCGAAUUGUCAUGUCUAGAUAUAUGAACAAUUUUAAAGCAACCCAAGGUAAAUCUUGCAUCUAGACAUACCAAAAGAUAAACUAUAAGUAAUUCGUCAAAACAUUGAUAACCCUUGGAUAUUUGUUGCACUACUAAUAACGAAUAACCGGAAGCCUCAAUAUGUAUAUCACCUAUAGCAAGGCAAAGCUCCAAUCCGAAUAACAAUGCAUAUUCGGCUUUGAUCAUUGUGCAAAAAUAUUUUAAGCGGCAUGAGGCUUCACAAAAUAGCUUCAUAUGGAGAUAAAUAAACAACACCAACGCCUUGGCCAUUGUUACAAAUUUAACCAUCAAUAUAUAAUCUCCAUGGUACUAGAGAGAUCAAGCUAAAAACAAUAUUAUGCAUGAUGUCAAUAUGAUGCUCAAUAAAAAAAUCAACCAUGAUUUGGCCUUACGUAAAUUCUGAAAACUAAUAAGCCAAAGCACACCCAAUCAAAACAUAAGUUCACUUUGAAAUUUUGAUGAAUUGGUCUAUGCAUAAUAUCUUCAAUGGCAUCAAUUUGACAAAUUCCUUUGCAAGGACUUAUCUCAAUCUCUACUCAAACUAAGGACGAUGUUAGAAUACCACACCGGCCAUUCUUAGAUAUUCUUAGGGCGAUAUAUAAGUAUCGGCCAUUCCCAUGAGGUCCAUGUAGAAUUCACCCACCAAAGUAUGUAUAGCCGAAAUAAAACAAUGAAAUAGCAAUAAAACAUUUCAUCCCUUUUGUAUUAGCAACAAAAACGUAACUAACCAAAUGUAUAGUGAUUUGGUAAUACCCUGUCAUGAUAUAGAAAAUUAUGUUGCAUCCAUGGAACAAAAUAAAUCCAUGGAGGGUAAUUGAUCAUACCUAUGGAUGAAUUCCAUGGCAAAGGCAUCAAUGGCAUGGUUGAAGAAAAUGAAUGAUGUGCUAACCGAAGAUUUUGAUGUUGUGAUGCACACCUUCGGCUUAAUUGUUUGUUGCUUCCAUUCUUCUCUUUCUUCACUUUUAUUGUACUUAUUGCAAUAGAAGCAUGCACAUCCUUUUUUUUAUGAUUGAUCCUCUUGGGAACCCAUGCCAUGUUCUCCUGUCUCAGCUCUUGUGCACUAAGAUUUUGUAAUUCCCUCUUUUGCCAAUACGAUAAACCGAGUGGGCAUCUUGGCUGUGAUUCUAUUUUGACCUUGUGCACUCUCAACUUCUUUUCUUCAGAUUUGGCACUUUGACUCUCAAUAAUUGGUUGCUUCGUCUCAUUGCCCUUAGUAGCCAAUGUCAACACUUUAAUUGGCUCUUUUUCAUUUGAGAUCAAAUCUGAAGUUGCACUCUUACGACCAUCUCUUCUAACAUGGUAAACUUGCUUGACCACCUCUUUCUUCUUCUUUGAGCUCUGGACCGAUUCCUUAUGAUUGAAAUGGUCUUUAACAUGUGAUUGUUCAAAUGUUGAUCUUUUCGGAGCUGCAUAAUAUUGAUGAGAUGGUCUAAAUUAAGAUGGAGAAUGUGCCCUUGUAUCAUACCUGUCCUGUGAUGGAUAUGAAUCUACACGAGCAUAGGGACAAAUCCAGGACAUUGGCAUUGGCGGCCCAAAAUAAGGAUAUGAAUAUGUUGCAUGAAAAUUUUCACUUUUCCAAUACCGAUGCUCAUAUUUGCGCCUUGGGGGUGCUCUUGAUGCUUUUGCAUUAGUUGGCCGAUAAGCACUUUUCUCUUCACUCUUAUUUUGAUAUUUAUCUAAUAAUUGUGCAAAAGUGACCUUGGAUUUCUUGCACUUGUGCUUAUUGCUGCCUUUGUUUCCUUUGGUUGUGCUUGCACUGAUCUCUGGAUUUGCUUGCUGCCCCCAGUCCUUGGUGUCUCCAUUGUAGCUUCGAUAGAAUUUUCGCCCUCAAGAUUAUGUUCAUUAUGCUCUUCAACAACUUCUUUACUUGAAAGCUUAAUCCCAUCACCUGCAGUUUUUACCUUCUGUUUAAAUGGAUCAGCUUGAAGUAGCCGAUGCAAAAACUUUCUGUCAUCGGGACCAAUCGGAAUAGACUGGUGAUCUCUUGGUGUCUCAACAAAUUUCAAUCGUCCUUUAUCAAUGGCCGAUUUAACUAUUUGACGAAACAUGUUGCAAUCCUCAAAAUUAUGCUUGGAUGAAUCAUGAAACUUACAAUACAUUCGUCCUUGGACAGAUGGCUCAACAUGGUGAUCAAGAAUUCUAAUAUAAUUAUUUCUCAACAACAAAUUAAAUAUUUGAUCACACAUGCUUGAAUUGAAGGUAAAAUUUUUAUUCUCUAUCCGAUCUUGUUGUGAGAACGGCUUUGGAGUUAAGCAAACGAAUGGUUCAGAUUUUGCAUCACCCCAUUCGGCUAUGCAUUGUGUUUUGCACUCUAUCUCCGAUGUCUUUCGAUAAGAAACUAUACUAGCAUCGGUUCGCUCAGAGGAUUUUAACCUUGGCUUUAAAUUUCUGAAACGAAAAUAGUUAGAACAUACAUGUCUCAAUUGAGACCAAGUGUAAGCCAAGUAAGAAAUAAGCAAAGCUACCCAAUUAGAUAUGAACUUUAAAUAAAUCAAUGGGAAAAGCUUUGGCUGCAGUAAUAAGUCACAAUCAGUCUCUUUGAAUGGUACAAUAUAUUGACCGAUAUGCUUAGUAACAAUUUUAUUGCUAACAAGUAAAUUACCCUUCUUCAUUGGUCUUUGAAAAUUACUUAUUAGAAUUUUUCUAAUAGAUGCAUCAACAAUAAAGUUGUGACCAAAUCUGAAAAUAGGUAAAUUACUUGCUAGACAUACCUCUUCAAAUAUGUUGGGAGAGCAUGAUGAUUGCAUAUGAUGAAUAAUAUUGUGUUUUGCUUCUGGAUGACUUCCCAGCACCAAGUCACAAUUUUCUUCUUGAUUUCGUGCAUCAUAAAUUUGAAGAUCUUUGUCAACCAAACUUUGUUCGGCUACUUGCUCUUGUCCUUGAAGCUUGUCAAUUUCUAUGGCACGAAACUCAUAGGGCAGGAAGUAGGUUCCAUUAACUUCAGAAAAAUCAAACAUGGUUGUUUUGCUAUGCUUGCCAUGCCCUUUCUCAAUAAUGCUUGCCUCUUUGGAUUUGAUGGAUUCGGAAUAUAUACUACUUGAUUCGGCUUUUUCAACUGAAGCACUUUUAGUUUCCGAAUCAUCAUUCUUUUUGCCGGUUAUAUCAAUUGGCAAGGCUUCUUUUCUUUGAGCCAAUUCCCUAUCAAUUCUCUCUUGGCGAAGUACCUGCACCCUAUUGCGCAAAGCUUUAACUCCCCUCUCAAUUCUAGCCUACUCUAGAUUAGUUUGCCUCCCAAUGCUUUUAGAAUCUUUCGGCAAUGAAGUGUCAGUGUUGCCGAAAUUUUGCAAUUGUGUAGGGGGUGUAUAAUAUGCUGCGGUACUAGGUGGAGGUGUAUGCACUGCUAUAUAACCAUAUGCUCUUUCGCCAAUUCUAUCAAUGCAUGUAGUUUCAUCUUCUUGCAAAACUCUAGCCUUUAUUGCAGCAUAAUCAGGAAACAACCCCUUUUCAUAUUGUUCAAGGCAAAGAGCACUAAUUUUCUUGUUUUGUGCCAAGCUCUUUUUAACGCAGCCACAAGCACUCCUGGAAGGGAUUGCUCCACAAUACUUUCAGAUUCUUUCGGCAAUGAUUCAUGAGUGUUGCCGAAAUUCUCGAAUUGCGUAGAGUAUGCAUUAUAUGCUAUAGUAUUUGAUGACGGCACAUGUGUUCCUGUAAAUUUUUUACUUAUUCGGCUAUGACCAUGAAGAUGCGGGGCCGAAUUAUGAACAUCUACAGUUGCAUACGGUGCUGAAAAAUUACUAAAAUGAGGUGUAGCAUAUGAUGGUUGAGAGUAACUAGCCGAAUAGCUAGUAGUAGCAUGGACAAUUCUUCCAUCCAUCAACAAGGUUGGAUUCACAUACUGCAAAUUAGUUGCCAAUGAAUAAAAAGGUGAAACACUUUCUUCUAUGCUAUUGGAAAUUUUAACAUGAGGUGUUUCAAACUGAUUAACCGAACCCAUCAUGUUGUUCAUCGACAUAUGGAUUUGUGGGGUUGCCGAUGCAUGAGAGUUAGGAUACAUAUGUUGUAUGUUACUAGUAUCAUAAGAAGUUGAAACAUGUAAAUUACUUUGAAUCGGUCUAUGUACGUAAUUAGAUGCCUUAUUGAAAAACUAGGGCUGGUCGAUAGAGUAUAAUCAUUGAACGAUCUAGUAACAUCAUAUGAAUUAUUUGCAUCUACAGUAGGGAAUUGGGUAUUCAUAUUAAAUUUGUAAAUUGCAAACCCUAGAUGACGAUCUCUUCGUAGCAAGAACGGACCGGAGACCGUUCAAAGCUUCGUCCCCAGCGGAGUCGCCAAAAAGUGUGUUCGCACACGAACACGUCACCGUAUAACCUCGACGCCGGGGGUGAUGCACGCAGCUCGUGUCAAAGGAGAUCUGACCGGCAGCGUGAUACACAGGACAUCCGACAGAUGCUUUUGUAGACCCGAAGCCCCGCUUGCCCGGGAGGGACCCCGUCAGGGCUCGCGGCGGUUAUGGGCUGCUUCAGGUCGAUUCACUCGCCCCUAGAGCCUCGUGGAUCCGCAGCCCUCCAGCAUGAAGAACUAGCGAAGAACGAGAAGAAAGAUACAAAGGAGAGAUAAAAAGUAGAUGAACACGAAAAAGUAGUAGAUGUGUUUGUUCGAUUGGUGUUGUUUCAAUCGGCCUCACCCCAACAUAUAUAAGAGGCGGCUGGACUUCCCGUACAAGCAAAAGAUUCAUUUAGGCUUUCCUUACAAGAAAAUUACAUCAAUUCACGUCCAAAACCCUAGUCAAAUUCGGAUUGGUUUAUCCGAACUUCUCAAAACUGUUCGGUUUAAACUAGCUGUACCUUGCAGGUCUUUUUUGUGGUGGCAAACGACCUCGGAUGGAAAUGAGUCCAAAAGUAAUCUUGACCGUUUCGACGAGACGAACAACUCUCAUGUUGAACGUUUUUUCAUCAGAGGUCACGUCAAGGGUCAAAUCACUCGUGCAAGACAGAUAAUUAUUCACGUAGCACAUCAGACAUACCCACAUAUGUGUCUGGUUUCGGGCGUCAUAUUUUUGCUCACUGGAGGGUCGCGCUGUGCGGGCUCUAACUUUUGCAUAUGACCUAGGAUUGAGAUGAUCUUUAUAUCAAAAUCGAUUGUUUCGACGAUACGAAGACAAUUCAUGUAGAUCAGUUUUCAAUAUGGGGGAAGUCUUGGGGGUGUAAUCAGCCGAAAAGUGUUCUGGAUACAAAAUCUCAGUACUUCGAACACAACUUCGGCCUUAGAGAUGAUAUCGGAUGGCUAUGACCCAAAUACCAAAGUUUAUCCUUUUGAUGAUACGAAACUUUCUCACUUUGAGAACGUUUUCAUUUGAGGCCAUAUUUAUUAAGUUCUCGGCCGUGUCAAAAUCUGGUGUCAACACACACUUGUUAUAAAAUGACUCAUAUAAAUUUAAGAGCCCCCAUUUAACAUGGGUAAAGGGAGUUUCUUUUAACAAACAACUCACGUGAGCAUGGUCGAACCGAACACAAAUUAAAAAUUUAAAAACUUCGAGCUUGAAAGUGACUUAGCUGAUUAAUGUGUUCGGCGUUGAUGACGCGGGUCGAGCUUGCAGCGGGUCGAGGUCCCAGUCCCCAAGUCGGUCCCGAGGUGGCGGAGCGAAGAACUCGGCACUCCGAAGUGGCAACAUAGCGCAGCCAAUGUGGCAGGGUGGAACCCUCAGUCCGGCCGAGGCGACGGAGUAGGCCGACAGUAUGGUGCCGAGGUCCCCGGCGUGGGUUAAUAAAGUGAUGACGAAGCCCCCGGUCCAGCCAAGGUAAUGUGGUACAUCGGUACGCUGAGGUGACAGCGCUGCCCAACCCGAAUCAUUUACCUGUGCAGAGAAAAUAGUGCAAGCCGGAGAUAAUAGUAAUAAUAAUAAAUUAAAAAAUUCAUUAAAUGAUUAAUAGUUUAUGCAAAGUGAGUAAUAAAGAAGUAUGGCCCGUGUGCCGAACACUCGAUGAGGUAGAGCUCUCUUGGCGAUGCCGAAGUCCCCGAGGCAACCGAACCUGUCGGUAUGGCAAUUUGACCAACAAGGUGAUCACGCGAGCCGAUUUAUGCCUAUUGGGAUGAUGACGUCGGCCUGCCGAAGUGACCACAUGAUGCAGUCGAAGUCGAUUACCUACACAUGUAAAAUAGUGCAGUUAAAAUAAUAUAAAUAUAUAAAAAAACCUCGCGUAAUUAAUUUACGCAUUUUUUUAAAGAGAUGUGGCCUGGCGUCGAAGCCAAUGUCAGUGCGAGGCGCCGGCAUGACAAAGCAUGUAUUCAUAGGGCGGUCCGAGUCCCCAAUGAGGCGUUCGCCGAACUGCCGACGGGAAACUGACUGAACCAUCACGCAACCAUCGUUAAUGCGGCCAUCAUUUGACAGACCUGUUUACAGAUGAUGGAACAAACCAGAGUAAUAAUUCCUCAGGAAAAAUAAACCCAAGUAAAAAAUGUACUAGGAUUAAUAGCACCUGGUUUAUCUGUUGUAGCAAUCUAAAGAAAGGUUACUCCCAAAAUUGGGACUCGAUCCACACACCCAUUGCCUAAUGGGCGAUGAAGCGACGGCAUGGUGAUGCUGGCAAAGGAUAGCUUGUCGAGGCAAAGCCCCUGGUCCAGCUAAUGUGACAAAGAUGGUCGGCUGGUAACGCUGAAGUCUCUGGAGUAGAUUGAUGAAGAGAUGGAGAAGCCCCUCGUCCAGACAAGAUGACGGAGCGGGCCGGUAAGGUAAUGUUGCAACCACCGUGCUAGCCGAGGUGCUGAAGUGGUUCGACGUGGCAGGCAUCGGUUUGAAGAAGCUACAGCUCGGCCAGGCCGGCGCUGGUCAUAACUUGUGACAUGGUCAAUGCCGGAUUCAUGAAGUGACCGAGCGGCGAUGGUGUUGGUGAUAAUUUAGCCUUCACGACGCCGAACUCUUGUUUGGCCUGCCGAGUUGAUGAUCCGAUAAGGUUGGACUCGGGUUGAUGAAGUGAAGAUCUGUCUAGCGCAGGUCGGCAGACGUGGAGCAAGGACUGGUUCGACACCGGCGCGACGGUGAAGAUUACCUCCAAAAGGAGCAAAUUAUGUGAGCAUGUGUUCAGAAAGAAAACACAAUACCCUAGAAAGAUAAUCUUCCAAAAAAAGGUUGUCCAAUAUCCUGUUCAUGAAGAAAGAUGAACUCAAGUCGGAUUCGUAUUCGUGCAGAAAACAAAUUCAAAAAGUGAUGCACUAAUCGGAAGGUUCCCAGAGUUUGAACGGUCGGAUCGACCUGAAAUUUUGAGGAGUGGCAGAUAUGGAAAUUUCGCAGAAGAUGAACGGUUGAAUCCUCCAAAUAACUUCUGAGCUAGGCUCUGGAGACCACGCCCUAAACUCGUCUAGAUUCCCGUCUAGACUCGACAAACCUCCCGUAUAUCAUUGAUCGCCGAAGAUUCCUCCAUCAGAACGCGACGAAAUUUUACAGGGAUGUUGUACACUCAAUUCCGCACAAUUCCACCAAAGCAAUCAUCAAAAUGACGCUCAAGGAGGCGGUGGUAGCAGAUACAGGUUUGCUGUCCAGAAAAAUAGCACGAUCGCACGAGGACAAUGUUGACGUUGAGCCCCAGAGCUUAAUCGACGAUUCCUUCAUGAUCUUGAUAGAGAUCGGAGUUGAUGAUGACGAGGACAUAUGUCUGAUCUUGAUGAUCCAAAGAGGAGCCUGGUCCCUGGACCAGCCUAGGUGACCAGUCGAGCUGGCGAUGAAGACGCCGACGUCGCAGUUUGAUCUAUAGACCAGCCAUUGAUCCAUUGUCGAUCACAGAGUGGAACUCUCAAUGAAAGCACCAUUGUUAGCAUUAAAACCGGCAGAUCUCGAGGUAGGGGGUCCCGAGCUGUGGAUUCUCGAAUCAAUGGUAACAGGAACAAAGGAAACGAUGUUUUACCUAGGCUCUUGUUUAUAUUGAUAGUGUAUCAAGUACAGAGUUGAUCUACCUCAAGAUCAUAUUUUGUGAUCUAAAACCUGAGGGUAUGAUGAAUAAUGUCAUAAUAUAUUGACUAGCCUGGCCCUGGCUUAAUGUACCGGAGGCCUAGGAUAACAAGAGUCCUAGUCGAAUACGUUGGUGGAGAGGAGUCCUUGUCUUGAUCACCAAGCCUUGUGGAAGUUCCUUCGUGUGCGGCAUGGGCUACCUGAAGUGACCCAUGAAUGAACCGCCAUGGGGUCCUCGGCCCGAUCCAGCUGGCUGGGAGCCGACGUGAUUAGUACUCCCUAGUCCAGGACACCGUCACGAGGUGGUAUUAUUUCUACUAAUUUUUUGCUUGCAUGGGCUUAUUUUUUCUUGAGGAAUAUUACUCUGGUUUGUUCCACCCUCUGUACAGAGAGUCAAAUGCUGGCUGCAUUAACGAUGGUUGGGUGAUGGUUCGGUCAUUUUCCCAUCCUCAAUUCGGCGAACGCCACGUCGGGAACUAGGAUCACCCUGUGAAUUCAGGCUUUGCCACACCGAAUCCCCGCAUCGACAUUGGCUUCGACGCUAGGCCACAUCUCUUUAAAAAUUAAUUUGUGUAAAUUAAUUAUGCGAGGAUAUUAGAUAUAUUUAUAUUUUUUUGGACUGCACUAUUUUACACGUGUAGGUAAUCGACUUCGACUGCAUCACGUGGUCACUUCGGCAAGCCGUCGUUGUCGUCCCAAUUGGCAUAAAUCGGCUCACGUUAUCACCUUGUUGGUCGAAUUGCCAUACUGACAUGUUUGGUUACCUCUACCUCAUCGAGUGUUCGGCACACGGUCCAUAUUUCUUUUAUUAAUCGCUUUGCAUUAAUUAUUAAUUAUGCAAUGAUUUUUUAAUUUAUUAUUAUUCCUAUUAUCUUCGGCUUGCACCAUUUUCUGUGCACAGGUAAAUGACCCGGGUUGGGCAGCGAUGUCACCUCAGCGUACCGACGUACCACGCCACCUCGGCUGGACCGGUGGCUUCGUCAUCACUUCAUUAAACCACGGCGAGUACUUUGGCGUCAUACUGCCGGCCUGCUCCGUCGCCUCGGUCGGAUUGGGGGUUUCACCUUGCUACAUUGGUCGUGCUAUGUCACCACUUCGAAAUGCCGAGCUCUUUGCUCCGCCACCUCGGGACCGGCUUGGGGGCUGGGACCUCAUCCCGCCGUAAGCUCGGGUUGCGCAUCGACACCGAGCUCAUUAACCAGCUAAGUCGCUUCUUUACGUUAAACAAAAAACUUAGUUUGUUAAAAAUGUUAUUAGUUAAAAACACUUCUUUUACCCAAGUUAACUAGUGGAUCUUAAAUUUGUACGAGCUGUUCUAUAAUAAUUGUUUUUUCCUAGUCGUUGCAAAGUCUUUUUCUACAACUCCUUUCUCGACUCGAGUGUGUGGUCAAUAGCCGGAUAGCCUGUAUUCUCUCUAAUGCCGCUCGAGUUUAGUUCGCUAAAUUGGCCUAACGAGCAGUACACCGCCUUCAGGAUAGGAGGUUGCAACCGUAGGCUGACCCGCUUGAAGUCUUGAGAUCAGAUGUGUCAUAUUAAUGCACGACAGAAGCACAAAAAUAAGACCAAUUUUCGGAUUGGGACCAAAUGACUUGAUUUAGUUCGGGCGUAAAGUUUUUACUGAAGUUUUUGGUUUUCCAGGCUUAUGUCACUUUUAAACUAUUUGUGUGUUUCUAGCAUAAGUCUCGCAGUGCAACGCCGGACACCUUUAGAGAUUCAGCAAAAACACUCUCGGAUAUUGCUAUAUAUGCAUCGGUUUUGAAUUGUGUCUUCGGUCAAUACUUGGGUUGCCCGGCUCCUGUGCUUGCCUCCUAUGUUUCGCUUUGUUCGGCUAGGUGUGCAAAGGGAGAACCACUGCGAUUGUGCUUCCAGCUCGAAUGGUUAAGCACCUCAGUGGAACAAGCCGAAAACUGACGGUCACAAUGGGCGUAAACUAGUCAGCGAUCCGAUGACGGUGUCAAACUAUAGAUCAAUACCGAUUACCCUGUGUUAAACGAUAGGCCUUUCAUAACAUUGGCCGAAGUGUUAAUGGCUAGACUUCGGUCGGCGCCGAACACUAACCAGGGGCUCGUAGCUAGCUUCCCUAGUUUAAAGCUCCUACGACUAAGUGAAAGUUAUAAAGCCCGCAUAUCUGAUUGGCUUGUUUCCGCUAACACAACCGCCUCCGGGCACCGAGACAUCGGCUAAGGGUUGUCUUGUUACUACGGAAACACCCUGCGUAGUAUCUACAAAGGGGUAGAAGCCGACGAAGGGCCACUAUCAACUGAUAAACAGUCGCAAUGGAGUCAAAAUAAACAUCUAUCAUUAGUGUUUGUAUUCAAUAUACAAGCGUUGCCUUCCGUAAUUAUCGUUAUGAAGCCUUAAACAUGCAUCAAUUUGACUUAAGAUUUUGGCCAAGUUGGGUUGCCUGGCUCCUGUGCUUACCCCUACGUUCCCGAUUGUUCGGCUAGGCGGUAAAGGGAGCACCUCUGUGAUUGUUACUACCGGGUCAUACGACUUAGUACCUCAGACUGGGUGAAGCUGAAAGCUAGCGAUCUUAAAGGAUAUAAUUGGUCGGCAACGACGGAAGUGAAAAUUUAGGUUCACUAAAGACCACAUAGUUCGGGAACUUCCCCCCAACUAAAUCCUUAAUAUUUUUCUCCUGCAUUGAUCGAAGGUGAGGUUUCAUGAUCAUGGUCGGCAUGACAACCCAAACAAAGGAACCGAUAGCGGGACUAUUUUGUUUGGAAGAUGUUUUUUACAUUACAUAGUAAUAUAACAUUCUCUCCGCAUACCUUUGUUUAUAAAACCGUAUGGCCGGAUUACCUUGUUUGACAUAAAUCUUUGCCCUCAUAAAGGCUUUAUAAAGUGCGACAAACACUCCCCGGCUACUGGCCGAGGAGGUUGAAGCCGAUGGUCAGUCAACAAAGUUUUGUACAAUGCGGAUCCGAGCAUUAAUAAUGUAGAGUACUUGGAUACAUAGAAUCAUUACACAUAAUUUGUGAUUUUACUCCGGAUAUCGAUCCUUAAUUCGGCCACCCAUGCCCACAGUAAGGCUCGGGGGCUACUGGACUUCGGGCUUAUCAUUUUAAUAAUAUUAAAGGGGCACAUUGAUCCCCUGAUCUGGUGUUGCCACCCGACCAGUGUCUCGGGGGCUACUGCAUUGCCUAUUCAACACAGAAAAUUCAAAGUGCUUAGUGUUCGGCUUGACCGAACUACGGGCAAACGCGUCUUUGGACAAUAAUAGGUAUCAUCUCGGACUUAUCCGGCAUCAAGCUAAUAUAUUACAGUGACUUCUCAAAACCCUCUCUCAAGGGCCCGUUCGCCGAUCACUAUUUUCUCUAAUAUAUUACACCGCGUUUCGAUUCCUAAGUAUGUUGCCGAGCUGGGAAUUGAUCCUCAGGCCGAUUUCAUGAAUAGACCUAAGUAUCAGGGGCUACUUGGGUCAGCGGUUUGAUUUUAUCCUUCAGGUGCAUCCGGAUAUUAGGCCAACACACACCUUGAGGGCUACUGGCUAUACACCUCGACAGAGAAUACAUUACACAAAUCGGAAUUAAAUUCAUAUGAAUCAGCCCCUGACCGAGGUGGUGCACCACCUCGGAUACGGUCUGAUGUUGGAGCCCGGAUACAGUCCGGUGUUGGUGCUCGACUGCAAAAGAUACCUCAGAAGCAGUCCGACAUAAAGCUCGGUUGCAAGUGGCUGGAUCCAUAGAGGGCAUCUCUGGCAUUAAGCUCCGUUCUACCCUUUUAACUUUUUCAAGACCGAGGUAAUCUAUGACACUUCGGAUACAGUCCGACAUUGGGGCUCGGAUACAUUCCGGCAUUGGAGCUCGGAAGCGGUCUGACGUUGGUGCUCGGUUGCAAAAUAUAUCUCGGAUGUAGUUCGACGUUGGAGCUUAGAUGCAAGAGGACACUGCCGCACGGGAACAACUUCAAACCCGAGGUGUGGCGUAAAAAAUAACAAGGCAUUGCUAAAGGCCGAAAAUAUAAAGGGAUUCCUCGGAUACCCGACAUGUAGACUCUUCGGAUUCACUUCAGCGAUCCUCAAGAUCGAAGAUGAGAAGAUUUGUUGAACCAAUUUUCAAGACCAACGACCGAAGAUGAAGAAUAGUUUGGAAGAAUCGAGGAGCGUCCCCAACUUGAAGACCGGUUCAAGGGGCUACUGACGGUGUCCUGGACUAGGGGGUACUCACCAUGUCGUCUCCCGACCAGCUGAUCGGGUCGAGGACCCCCAUGGCGGUUCAGUUAUGGGCCACUUUGGGCAGCCCAUGCCGCAUACAAGGAGGAUUCCACAAGACUUGGCACCCAAGACAAGGACUCCUCCGAACCCUAGGCCUCUGGUGUGUUAUAUAAACCAAGCCAGGCUAGUCAAUAGAACAUAUCAUUCAUUACUACAAUCUUGUGGUAGAUACCUAUACUAUGUACUAUCCCCAUAUGAAUACAAUCAAAAGCAGGACGUAGGGUUUUACCUCCAUCAAGAGGGACCGAACCUGGGUAAAAUCCCGUGUCCAUGUUACCAUCACUCCAAGACGCCUAGCUUAGGACCCCUACUAUGAGAUAUGCCGGAUAUAGAACCAACACCGUUCAUUAUGACACGCUUCAUUAUUGUCAUAUUGCUUUGCAUGAUCAUGUAGUUGGCAUCAUAUUUCUGGAAAAGCCACCUUUCAUAUUUUUUAUACAUGUCACUCUUGAUUCGUUGCACAUCCCGGUACACCACCGGAGGCAUUCAUACAGAGUCAUAUUUUUUGUUCUAGAAUCGAGUUGUAAUUCUUGAGUUGUAAGUAAAUAAAAGUGUGAUGAUCUUCAUUAUUAGAGCAUUGUCCCAUGUGAGGAAAGGAUGAAGGAAGCUAUGAUUCUCUCACAAGUUGGGAUGAGUCUCCAGACUUUAUAAAAAAUAGAAGAGGCCAAAUAAGCCCACAAAAAUAAAAGAGGCCCAAGAAGCCCACUGUUGGGGAUAUAACUCCUAGGUAUGACCCGCCCUGGAGGGGCCGGGUCAUGCCUUCGACGGUUCAUUAUGAAGAAGCCCAUGAAAGCCCAGGGUGUGAAGGUGGUGACUCAUGGAGGCGGGCCUCGAUGAGGCCCAGGCCAGGGGCUCGUAAGCCAUCAUGUGCUAACUUGUAUCGUAAGAUAAGUAUUAGUUGUAAACCAAGCCCCUCACGAUGUAUGAACCGGCCUGGACUCUGUAAGCCACCUCCUCAACCUAUGUAUACACUACAAAAAAUACACUUCCGUGAUGAUACGUGUUUGUCACAGUAGGUCACAUUUUCUGUCAUGCAUGUACAUCCAUGACGAUUUUAUGACAGAAUCCAGAUAGUCAUACAUGUGCUAUCGUAGAAGUGUUCCAUGACAUUACCAAAAUUAUCAUCACGGAAGUGUCCACUUCCAUGACGAUAAAUGGCGCAUCAUGGAAGUGUUUUUGUCAAGGGUAACUGACAUGUGGCAUCCACCGUAACAGGUCGCUGUUAAGCUAUCGGGUCCGGUUUUGGAUCCGAUAACCCGUUAAAAGCCCCGAACAAUGGGCAUUUUCCACAUGUAAAAUUCUCAUUGGCCGGAGGAAACACGUGUUGGCUCACCAUUGGGAUAGAUGUCAUCCACUCAUUGGACAGGAGGCGCCUAUGAUUCGUCGACACAUGGCACGACCCAACAGAGGCACAUUCCGGUGAAAAGUCCGGCUUGUUUGACUUGGUCAAAGAGGUAGCGGGCCGGCCCACAUAAAGCCUGUUAACGGUCUGUUAGCAUAUAGCCCAUUUACAGCCCGCUAGGUCACGGCUCAUUACGGCUUAUCCGAAUUAGGCCCAGUAGCGUCAUCUGGGCCGUCCAGUAUGAUUCCAGCCCGUUGUAACUUCCGGCCCAUGUAUGGCCCAUGUCGUCUUUCUGCCCAUAUGAUGCCCUUUGUAACUCUUGGCCCAUUAACGACUCAUGGUGAAACUGGGCUGUAAUGAACAGUGUAUCGCUUUAUACCCAUUAACGACCCAUUAGUCUGUCGGCUGUUUCCAGCCCGUGUUAACUUUCGACCUUCUAAGGGCCCAUUUAUUCUAGGGCUCAUUUCCAGAAUUUGAUCACUUACGGUCCGUUACAGGCAUGUUCAUCUUGUGGACCAAAUUCAGCCCGUGGUUACAGUUGGCCUGCUUGUGGCCCGUUAACACGUUGGGAUGUUUUCGUAGCAUCAUCAAUUAUGGCCUAUUAAUGGCCUGUUAUGGUCGGGCCAUAAAACAAACGAUUUCCACUCUAGCCUGUUUACGGCCCAUUUUGAGGUCCGUCAUUGGUCCACGAAUAGUACGACCCAUGUUUGGCGAAACGAUUAUACGACCCGUAGAAGGCCCAUAGAUGAGAUGGCCCAUAGAAGGCCCAUGGAUCCUAUGGCCCGUGGAAGGCCCAUAGAUCGUACAUCCCGUGGAGGGCCAUGGUCACUACAACAGGUAGCAGGACCAUGGUCACAACAGUCCGUGCAUUGCCAUGGUUAUUGUGGCCAAGUUUAUUGUGGCCGCUAGAAAAACGCGGAAAAAGAAUUAUAGUGAUUACAAGCAAACAACUAAACAAGACAAUAAGGAAAUAAAUAAGCAAGGAACUAACGCUAGGUUAUUACGGCUACUACACAUAUUACAUCCACUGGGCAACAAAGUUCACCACUAGUGCAAAUAUAGGGAACAAAGCAGCAUAUUACAUACACUGGCCAUCUGAAUUGACCACCAGUGCAAAUAAACGCGGCAGCAAAACAAGUCCAUAACUGAAACAACUUCAGAAUGGCUCAAGAAACGUUAUCCUGGGUAUCCACCAUGCUGGCAAUAAGCUUAGAAAUCUUAUUAGCUUUGUCCUUUUUGGCGCUAAAAUCCUCCAAUGCUUGUUGUUGCACCAGAAAGUAUGCAUCUGAAUGCUCCAAGGACUUCCGCAGUCCUUCCCUUCUUGUCGCAGCACAACUGAUCAAUGUCUUUCAGCUUGUAGUUGAGACUCAAGAAACCGAACUGAUUCAGAUAGUGAGUUUGAAUAGCUUGUGCAAGCGGUACUAGCCAGGAACUCGAACACUAAACCAAGACAAGACUUUGGGGUUGUCUCACUGUCUUCAAGAUAGUUUUCCUUAGCUAUUUUAUCAGCUUUGUUGGAGACCAACAAGGAUGUCUCACUAUCCUGAACCUUAUCUGCAUUACUUCCUUUACCAUUGCUUAAUAAGGCACUCUUCCCCAAUAUUAUGUCAGCAUUCUAAAAGAAGAAACAAGCAGACACAUAACAGGUUUAGCAUGUACUAGUAUAUGAAACUCAUUUCGGUGAACCAGUUCAUUAGUAAGGUGGACAGGAUUAAACUACCAAGUCUUCUAUUACCAAGUAGUACAUAAUAAAAGCAUCAAACAAACAUAUAUCUAUGUCCUAUGGUCACUGCAUCGUCUUGCCAAAUCAAAAUAGAGACACAGUUGAAAUCAUAUCAGUUCAAGACAAAGCAGCACUGAAAGAAUACAAAGCAUGGGAAUCUACAUGGCACAACAAGAUUUCAGAUGGGUACCACGGGUCUACAUGUACAAUAACACGAUUGUCUCUGUUGUGAUGCUAGUAAUGUGCAUUAUAUGAGAAGUCAACUGUAUACACAAUUGAAAUUGAAAUCAACAGAGCUAUUGAUAAGAGCAAACCUGCUAAAGAAACAUGCGUAAACAUACCUACUGUGCCAUUGGAGUUUAGAUUGGAUCCUUCAAUUUAAAAAUAAGUUUGUAUGAGUAAAUACAGUGAUACAAGAGCAAAGUAGUAUGCACGAUAACAAUGGAAUCUUAAAUGAGAACAAUUGUUCUUCAGGUUUAAGCACUUGUUCUACAUGAACAAAGUACAGCAAGACGCAAGAAUAUAGUACUUAAAAAUAGAAAAUGAGCUCAUAGACCUUACCACAUUCUUGGUCCGGGACUAGUACAGAACAAGGUGUUCCCAGUCAUGGUCCAGUAAAUGUGUCUCAGGAGAACGUAAGGGAAUUUGAUGAGUUUCUUUGCUAGUGAAGUACGUUUCCUUCAGGUAAUUCUGAUACUGCCACCAAUCAUUCUUGAAGAUAGCAGAGGUAUUAGCACGGGUUACCUCAUCCUGAGUUUCCAAAUCGGUCCUUCUCUAUAGAGAAAAAUGGGAAAAUUUGUUGUAUUAUAACCAUCAUGGAGGUAGAAUGUAUGGGACAAAGCAAAGUAAUUGACAUGAAUAACAUUACUUACACAUAACUCCUGGACAAACACGUGCAACUUGCAUUUUCCUUCAUCUUCGGUAUAAUAUUUCCAUGAUGGGAAGAUAAACACAUAGGAUUUAACAACAUCAAAUGCGAUAGAUGCUAAAAUAUGACUGGAUGGUUGUGCUUCCUCCACAGGAAUAGGUGUACUAACUGGUGGAGUUGCGGUUCGCCAUGGUAGUACUGGCGCUUUGGGCACUGGAGCUGCCUUACUAACUGCUCUUGUUUGGGAGCUCUGUGGUGGAGAUGGUGCUGUGUCAACAGGAACUGGGUUACUAUCUGUUGGGGUUGGGGUUAGAUUGGGUGAAGCUGGUUCUCUGUCCAUCGCAGUAGGGGUACAAUCUGUGAGAGUCUGGGUUAUGUGUGGUAGGGCUGGUUCUCGUUCAUGUACAACCGGGGUGCUAUCUCCACCAAGAGGUAGCACUAUUUUAUUUGAAGACCGUGUUUUACUCUGCUAGAUACUGGCAUCACCCGCUCCAAUUCAAAUGGCUGAUAAACAGGAAAAUAGUUGAAUGUACAGACAUUGUAUGAGAGACAGAUGCAAUAGAUACUGUGGAAAAAGAGGGCAUGAAAUAGUUGACAUGUAUAUUAUUUAACUAAACCAGAUAGCAUGACAUAAUUUCACAUAUAUGAUGUAUAUCUGAACUGGAUAGCAUAGCAUAACAUAAUUCAAAGAUAUGAUGAAUAACUAAACAUGAUCGCAUGACAUAAUUCACAUACAUGUUAUAUAAGUAAUCAGGAUCACAUGAUUUAAUUCACAUAUGUGAUUUAUAUGCUAACCAGAGGGCAUUCACAUAUAUGAUGUCUGAACUAAGAACAUGGUGUUGAAUAUUGUGUAUAUGAUGUCUAAACUAUGCAAUGCAAGACACCAUAUGCAUGAUAUGCAUAGUAUAACCAUGCCAAGUUAGAGCUUACACCUCGAUGGGGGAAUUGGACUGGUCAUCUGUCUCUGAAUCCAUCUCUAAGGAGCUAUCGGGGCCCAACAAGAUAUCUGCUUCGACAUGUAGCACUGCCUGCUCUGAAGGCCUUGUUUUCACUACAGAUUUUUCCAUCUCCCACUCAAAUGGCUAAUUCACAGGAAGAGUAGUUUAAUGUACAAACAUUGUCGACAAAUGGAAAUGUAAUGAGGAAAAGGAUGGGCAAGAUAUCAUGCAAAUAUAUGAUGUCUGGUUAAAUAGGAUGGCAUUGCACAUUUCACAUAUAUUAUGGCUGGCUAAAAGACAUGAGAGUGCAUAAUUCCCAUAUAUGAUAUAGAAACUAAACAGGUGGCAUUACAGAACAUGUCUAAACUAAGCAGAUGACAUAUAUGAUGUCGAAAGUAGGCACUGCAAGGCAACAUAUGCAUGAUAUGACUAACAUAAUCAUGCCAAGGUAGAGCAAACACAUUGGGGGGUAAAUAGGAGUGGUCAGCUACGUCUGAAUCCGCCUCAGAACAGAUAUCUUCCUCUGGAUUACAAUCUGGGGAGGUGGGGGGAGGGUUUGCCAUUGAACCCACCAUGGAGCGAUGUCAGCAUGACAUUGUAUGGCUACGCAAAACUCUUAUCUUUUUCUCUACAUGUUCAGCAUGACUGUGUACAAUAUCUGACAUGCAUACGAAAAAAUAUGGUGAGAUUAUGUAAGGAGAGCAUGCAGAAAUCUAAAGUGAUGGUAACAACCUGUGGAUGGAUCCAAAAAUAAUGAUAGCAGGCUGAUGAUUGCUUUAAUUUAAUAAAAAGAUAGAUGAUAAUUGCUUUACUAUUUGUUUCCCACCCAAGAUGAACAACAUAAGCAUACCCUAGGUGAACCAUAUAUUAGAUAGAGAUACUAUGCAUUGCUGCCUCGAUGCCCCACAACUAACUUAGAACUCAAGUUUGAACAUUAAUUUGGACCUGACUUGGAGUCUAAGAGGUGAAAAAGAUGAUAAAGUAGCAGGUAAUUUUAAGCAAUGCAUAACAUAAGCAGAAACAAAAGAGUGGGACCUCUCUUGUGGACCCGUGUACUCCUGAGGUUCAUCUGCUAAGUCGAUGAUGGUGAUGUCGUUACGGUGGGUGCUGGUGGCAGGGAAGGAGAUCUGAGGCGGCGAAAGAUGGUCAGGAGUCAUGAUGUCUGGUUUGGUGGAUGCUUCUGUUGAUGGAGCAGCUUAGGUGAGGCGGACAACGUCGUGGCAGGAGCAGGAUAAACCACACAAAGUUUUCUUCGACACCUACCUGUAACUGAAGUAAUUCUGUAAGGGCUUAUUUGGCUUGCAUGAUUCUAAAAAUGUAGGGAUAGGGAAAACGAUAGGAAUGCACAUGGUAAACAGAGCAUUUGUAAACACAGGAUUUCUGUCAACUUGGGUGUUUGGUUCACAUGAAUUGGAAGAGCAGAGGAAUGCAAAGAAACAUGGCCAAAAUAAAGUGAAACCAUAUGAAAGUGUGUAUAGUUAGACUGUUAUUCUGCCACUAAUGCACUUGGUCUUGUUUUCAUGCAUAGGAUUUUGAAAAGUAGGUCCAGGUGGAUGUUUUGCUCCAUUCCUUUCAACAAAAUGUAUGAAUAAUUGAAUAGUAGAGUGCCAUAGGAAAAUUUCCUAUUGCUAUAUUUUUUCCGUUGAACCAAAAUAGCCUUAAUGGAUCGACAUGAAUGUAGAGUAAUAAGUGAUGCGACAAGUGUACAACCUCUUUGCCAUAGUCGUGUCGACCUCGACAUCAUUGGGUUGGUCGCUGAAGAAGUUGAGGCAGAGGUGGCUGUCGGAGGUGUGGAGGAAGAUCUGAGGAAUCUGUAGAUGGCGUCCAGGGCACUGUUCUAUUGUAAUGGAUCGUUCUGUCGUUGGAGCAGCUCCAGUGAGCUGUAAGACGUCGAGGCUGAAGCAACACAAGACAUACAUCAUUAAUCUCAAGUAGGAUUCUAAUAGCAUCUCCAAUAGAUGAUGUAAAAUACGUUACCAAAAAGUGAUAGAUGUAAAAUUUACAUCACCAAAAACCACCUGACUACAACAGAUGAGGUAAAAACUACUGACUCUGAACUUAACUGCCGAAACUGAAAUUUAUUAUGGAAUCUGAAUGUUACUGUCGAAACUGAACGCAAUGGUAGCAGAGAGGCACUUCACAUGUAGUUUAGGGAGGGCCUGCAGUUCAUCUUCAACCUGCACCCUCCUGAGUCGCCAACCACCACCGGCCCCCGCCGCCCGCGGCCGGUGAUGCUCCCGCGCCGCCUCGCCGCCCCAAAACAACUCCCCACCGCCGCCCCGGCCAUCCCUGUAGCCCCCUCCCCCGCGUGCCGAGCUUCUUCUCCGGCGAUCCCCAUGCCAUCGCCCCACCACCGUGCCCCCACCGUCGGCGACCACCGCCCCACCCUAAACCCUAAGAUAGAUAGUGGGGUACCUAUCCGGCGAGCCACCCUCCUCACUGCGGGUGGUUCUUCCUUAACUCCGGGGAGCCCCCCCCCCUGAAAAUUGACUGACUCAAAAGUUGAUUCAGUCGACUGAAGUGUAGCUAAAUCGGAGCAGAGCAGCAGCACGAGUGAGGGGGAGAGCAGCAGCAACGCGAGUGAGUGAGCGAGAGCCGGAGCAGCAGCAGUAGUAGCGCGAGCGAGCGAGCCAGAGCUGGAGCAGCAGCAAUAGAUCCGGCUGGUAUGGCCGCCGCCGCCGAAGGGGCCUCGCACUAUGGGAGAGCCGCCAUGGAGAUGUUGCCCGCAGUGCCGGCUUUGAGGUAGCCGCGCCAUGGGGGUGCGGGAUGGAGCACCGUCGGCGUCGGGAGGUCGAGUUAAGGAGAAGGUGCGAUGUGAUGAGUGUACAACCUCUUUGGUGGCGCCGAGUAGGCUUCGGCUUCGUCCGAGGAGUCGGUGAGGAUGUUGCGGUUCUGGUGGCGCAGGUUAAGGCGAUGCUAUGUGGAUGGAGCAGCCACGAUAGACGAGGCGAUCGUUGGAGCAGCUCCUUGGAGUUGGAGGAUGGGGCGGCUGAACUGGCGGGACGACGAGAUGGACGACGGAUCCUCAUGCGGGGAGGUGGAUGAGGGACGUCGCACUAUUGCGGUGGACGAUGUCGUUAGGGAAGAGGCUCCGGCAGGGCAGCAGUGAGAUGGCGGACGGAGGAGGGUGGGGUUUAGGGGCUGGAGCAGAGAGGUUAUGGCGGCCUGGGAUUUCGAAUGACGAAAAGGAGGCGAUGGGAGGGGGCACUACAAAAAAAAGACACAUCCAUGACAUUUUGGGCCGAACGGAUUUUUUCCUGUCAUACUUAUGACACUCCUGUGAUGAUAAUUGUGACAAAACCCGGUAUCAUCAUAGAUGUGGUGGGGUCCUACUUCUAUGACAAAAAAUCAUGACAGAAAAUGGGCUUUUCGUCCUGGGCGGGCCGGAGACGCAGCUACAUGACAUUCUUUGGCCCGUCCAUGACGGAAAAAAACGUGGCAGAAGCGAGGGCGAGGAAAAUAUCAGGGUGUUCUCGGUAAUGGUGGGUGGUUGGGGCUGAGCUAUGCGCGUUUCUCUCGUACACGCACGCGCUUGGGUGCGAGGUGUUGGGCUCUAACUGAACCCGAGCAAUUGCACUGCAGGCUACGCAUUACUGAACCCGAGCGAUCGAUCAAUGGCUAUUAACUGAACCUGAUCGAGUGAUUCCUUCUCUACUGCUGCUAACUGAAGCCGAUCGAUGCUGCCUCUGGAUGAACAGUGAGAGUUGCUUGGGGGGGGGAGGGUUGAUGAAUAGUUCCCGGUGGGGGUGGAUGAACAGGACCCCGAUCGAUCGAGCCGGUUGGGGCUGGAUGAACAGGACCCUGUGGAGGGCAGGAUGAACAGGACCACCCCGUGGAGGGCUGGAUUUACAGUAGACGGUGGAGGGCUGGAUGAACAGUAGCCCGUGGAGGGGUGGUUGAACAGGAGCCCAUGGAGAGGGCUGGUUGAACAGUAGCCAGUGGAGUAGCGCGGGGUGGAGGCUGGAUGAACAGGAGCCCGUGGAUGAACAAUCGCAGGUGGAGGCUAGAGGAGGUCGACAGUGGAUGAACAGUAGCCCGUGGAGGCUGGAGGGGGUCGAUGGUGGAGAUGAACAGUAUCCCGUGGAGUCCCAUUUUGUGGUACGCCACACCCCUCCUGAUGAACAGGACCCCCGUUUUGAUUGUAGCGCUCCAGCAUAAGUCCGUUUCAUCCAUUUUGUGGUACGCCACACCCCUCCUGAUCAACAGGACCUCCAUUUCGACCCUAGGAGGACCGUUUCCUCCGUUUUGCGGUACGCCAAACCCCUCCCGAUGGACAAGAUCCCGUUUCGACUGUGGCCGGUCGAACACAAGGCCGUUUCCUCCAUUCUGUGGUACACCAGGCCUCAUUUCCAUCUACUGUUCCGUCCAAGCCCUCCUGAUGAACACGACACCGCAUUCCGUUCCGACCCAGCCGGUUGGCUCCCCAUGAACACAACGACGACGCAGUUUCUCCAUUCCGACGCAGCCAUGUACAUGAGCCCUGGCCGUAGUAUGCGCCAGUAGGCAUUCGAGACCCUGCCCGUAUGUACGUACGUGGCCGCAUUUUCUUUCUUGCACAUUGGCCGCUGUAUGUACGUGUACAUGCUACGUGCAUGCCUCUACUAUGACACGUGCGCGCCUCUACAUCGACCAGUAUGUACGUACACAUUCGCGACCAGAAUGACAACGCUACGUACACUUCGACCAUGUGGGUCCCGACUAUCAGGCACUUCCUUGCAUGCAAAGAUGUAGCUGGUGGGUCCCAGCAGUCAGGGGGCUGAAUCAUUUUUUUGCCCGAACACACUUCCUUGCAUGCGAAGAUGUAGCUGGUAGGUCCCAGCAGUCAGGGGGAAACGUUUUUUUCACGAAAUACAAUUGCUCGUCCGGUGGGUCCCUGCUGUCAGGUGGAGGAAUAAUUAUUUUGCACAUAAUAAGGAGGCACUUCCUUGCGGCCGCUGUGGACCCAGCUGUCAGCCUCUCCACAUACAGUACUCUUCCGAUGGAAGUCAUUCCUUGAACACGUUGACUACACCGCGCCGAGAGCACCAGGGCGGUGGACGACGGCGAGGCCUAGGAAGGGGACGACGCGGAGCCGGGGAAGACGCGGCAAUGGAUGCCCACGCGGAGAGGAGUAUAAGGGUUCACUGGUUCGGCUGCGGUGUGAGGUCGCCGUCGCCGCAUAAUAACAUGGGGUGUGGGUGAGUGGAGGGAUGCCCUGGACAGCGGUGGGAGUAGUAGGGGGCGGUGAGGCCUGCGCGGUAGCACAUUUGGCCACGGGAGGCAGGAGCAGGCGGCACGACCAACGCUGCUUUGGGAGGCUGGAGCAAGAAGACCAGAGGUUGAAGAAGCACGACGGCCGUUGGAUGGACAUCGUACGGCCACUGCAGCUAGAAUCGUUUAUAUUGACUAAGUUGACAAAGCCCUUGGUACGCGCCAACUUAGUAGGCCCACAGGUCAGCUUCUGAAACGGUGCGCCCCAGAUGUCAGGGGGAGGAAUCAUUUUUUGGGCGGGUGAAGCUAGAAUAUUCGAGAUUGAAGAAGCACGGCAUCCGUUGGAUGGACAUCCAACGGCCACUUCUGCUAAAACCAUGUGUUGACUAUAAGUUGACAAAGCCUUGCAUACGCGUCAACUCUCUUUUUUUAGGGGACGCAUCAACUUAGUAAGGCCACAAGUGUGUGGCAGAGAACUUAUAGCCCAUUUGAGAUAUGUAAGAAUGUGCAACCAAUUUUUGAAUUCUAAUGGAAUUUACUACAGCCCAUUUACAGUUUGUUAAAAGUACAACCCAUUUCAACCAACCGUUCAAACCAAAAUUCAAUAAACUUUCCCACAUUUUGAUGCGAUCCGAAAUAUUUUUAUCCCGAAAUUUCUAGUCAGAUUAAAUACAAUUUCAAUAUAAAUUUAUAUUACAUAAAAAUCCAACAAAAAAUUGCGCUCGCAACAAUUAAUGAAAUUAAAAUUUUCAAUAUCCAAAAAUAAUAUUUUAUAAAGUAAUUACGAGUUUGGUGCAUUUUUAUAGUUACUGCCCAGUUUUUAUAAUUACAUCCCAUUUAUUAUUUCUUAAAGCCCAUUUUCUUGUUAAGCCUAAUGCAUCCCUCCUAGAAAAGAUUUGUAGCCCAGCGGGAUAGAGAAUAACAACUUGACCUUGCCUGGGUAUUCCUAAAAAAAGUAUAGCUGGGCUAGCCAUUUUUAGCUUGAAAAAAAUUAAGAUCUAGGCUGGAUAUCUGGCCUGGGCUAGACGGGCCACAACUUGCAUAGUUAAUAGCUGCAGCGAUGUUUUCGUUUUGUUCAGAGGAGAAAAAUUAAUAUCUGGGCUAAACAUCACUCAAAAAAAA